CUGCUAUAUAUAUAUAUAUAUAUAUAUAUAUAUAUAUAUAUAUAUAUAUAUAUAUAUAUAUAUAUAUUAAAAAUAAGAUCACUCAUCACUCGAUUUCAUGCAUGUUUUGUCAGUGGAUCUUCUGGGUUGGACCUUUCAUUGGUGCUGCCAUUGCUGCAUUCUACCACCAGUAUAUUCUGAGAGCAGCAGCAAUUAAGGCUCUUGGAUCCUUCAGGAGCAAUGCUUAAUUAAUUAUGUUUCAACAAUUACAAUGGAGGACGUACAUGCUUAAUACUACUGCAGCAAGCUUAAUUGCUCUGUCGUCGUCUAUGAAUUAAUUAAGGAGGAUAUCUAUAUGUUAAAAUAUGGAGAUCAGACAGGCAAUUAAGGACGGACAUAAAUGGAGUUAAUUGUAGAUAUAAUAAUAAUCAAGAUUUGUUGUAAUUUCUAUCUGUGUUGUAUUUACUUUCUCUCCCAACUGUUGAUCAUCUUAAUUUCAUUUUUUAAAAUUAUCUCCUUUUCUUUUUUAAUUAAAUAUUACUCAAUGUACUCAGAGAUCGAUGUUUGUUCAUAAUAAAUCAAGGAAAUGGUUUGUGUUCCUUAUAUAUAUAAAUGCCCAAAUCCCACCCAACAAAUUGCCACCUUUUCUUUUUAAGUAAACAAUUAUAUAUAAUUAACAAAUACAGUGUAAUAUAAUUCAGUGCAUUUAGCAAUUUUGGUAAUUGUGUAGAAACUCUUAUUCUUUAAUUUUCUCACAUGCACAUCAGGUGUUGUCUUCCAGUUCCAGUUCCAGAGCCUUCUGUGUACAAGUCAAUGUGUGUGUCGAUCAUUUUCUUUGAAUAGAAACUAAUUAAUGUAUAUGCUUCUAAACCUAUGCGUAGCAUUCUUAUCUUCAAUAUAUUAAAAUUUACAUAAAUUUAUUUAAUUAAUUUAUAUCAUUACAAUUAUGAAUAUCAUAAAUUAUCUAAAAUGUACUACAAAUUAUAAAUUUAUUAUUUUAAAAUUUAAAUGAAUUAUAUAUGUAUGCCAAUUUUAUAUAUUUAAAAAAAUCUCAAAUUAACUUUUAAAAAAUAAUUUUAAUUUUUUAAUUUGGAUUAGACGGAGUAUAUAGUAUAGCUAAUAAUGUGAUAAAUAUAAUAUAUAUAUAUAUAUAUAUAUAUAUAUAUAAAUAAAUCAAUUUAAUCUUUAUAUUAUUUGAGUUACAAGUGGUCCAUAUCAAAAAGCAAGGGAAACAUGUUGGGUCAAUAGAUUGGGAUGUUUUUUUGUUUUUUGGUGCUUAUUUUUUUUUUAUAUAGUAAAAGUGAGUUAAUCAACCUUAUCUUCAUCUUAGUUUAUGACUUUAAUUUCACAAUUUUAAUAUUGAGUUGGUGAUGUUUUAGCUGUUCAUGAUGCACUUUAGACCUUAAUUUAUGGGAGAAGGUGGGUUUACUUUUGAACUUAUUUGUUAAUUAUAUAUAUAUAUAUAUAUAUAUAUAUAUAUAUAUAUAUAUACAGAAUCGAUCAGGUCAGGACUCCCUUACUUUGUUAAAAUGCAGACCUUUUUUUUUAUUUUUUGCUUUUUUUUUUAAAAAAAAACAACUAAAUUUUUUUUUUUAAUAUUUUAUGGAACUGGAAUUUUUUCAUAAUACAAUAUUUUGGGCGUGAUUUGGAUACUUAUAUCAAAAAAUAUAUGUACAAUCUGCACAGACUGUACAGACCUGUUUUGUUAUACGUAUCCAAAUCAUUUCCAAAACACUGUAUUAUGAAAAAAUUUCAGUUCCAUAAAAUAUUAAACUUUUUUUUAUAGUUGUUUAUAAAAAAAAAACCAAAAAAAACCACAAAAAAAAAUCCGCAUUUUAACAAAGUAAAGACUUCUUUACAGGAACCGAACCCUAUAUAUAUAUAUAUAUAUAUAUAUAUAUAUAUAUAUAUAUAUAUAUAUAUUAUGAUAGUCGAUUUCUUCUGUGGUUAUAAUAUGCAUGUAUUUAAUUUGAAAUGUGUCAAAUGUACAUUAAUAUAUAAUAAUUUUUUAAACUAUCUUAAACUAAAGAAAAUUAUAAGCUGUAAAUAUAUUUAUGGUUAUAAUGUUGAUAUAUGAGUACAUAUUAAAAUUCGUGUCAAAAAUACAAAUGCUUAAUAAAAUGAAAAUAUUUUUUAAAAUAGAAGUAGCAUUAAAAUUAUGAGAAAACAAAAAUAUAAUACCAAAACGUGCAAGUUUUGGGUGAUUAAUUGAUUAUAAUGAGCAUCAUAAUUUGUUUUCUACUGUCUCAAAAUAAUAGUAAUGGGCAUCAGAAUAAUCUGAUCGAGACAUGCAUGGUUUUUUAUUCAUUUACUAAUAUAAUUCCAAUAGUAUGCGACAAUAUAUAUGGUCGGUAUUAUUUUGCUUUACUUAACUCAUAAAAAUACAAUAUUGAAUGAAACCAAUAUUUCUUUUUUAUUUUAAUUAUUAUGUUAAGAUCAUUAAUUUUUAUAAUUAAAACAUUUGUGGUUUGUGGCAAAUCUUCAUAUAGAAGUCCCCCUUCAGUUAAUCCAUUUGAAAUUAUCUUUCAUGUAUAUAAUUAAUUAAUUAUCUCUGUUUAAAAUUUUCUUAUGUAAGCAGAUAAUAAUUAAUCAGGUUUCAUUUAGCUUUUAUUUAUAAAAAACAUUGUGUGUUAUUAAAGUGGUAUUUACUAUUAUGUGAUGUUAAAUUAAAUUGUAUAAAAUUUAGUUGUUUCAAUUGAUUUUGAAAUUAAAAUCGCGUCAAAUGAAAUCCCACCGCAUAUAACCAGGAUAUAUUUAUAGUGUCUUAUUUAAAAGAUUUAUGAAAACUUUAAAACAAUAUACAGAUUAAUAAUUUUUUAUUUAUAACAACUGAGUUGAAGUUUCACAAUCUAAAUAAAAAAUGGGAAAAUAUAUUAGAAAGAAAGUUGUUCGCUAAUAAAACAGACACACACUAUAAAGAGUAGUAACAGGGCAUCUAGAAGUCGUCUUUCUUUCUCUAAAAUAGCGGUCGUUGAAUUUGUUGAUAGACGAUUAUAGUCUAUAGAUAGAUACAUUAACUUGGGGAUAAACGAGUCGAAUCUCAGCGAACACUUUCAUGUUCAAAUUCGGUUCGACUCAAAAAAAUUAAGUUCGGAUUCGAUAAAAAAUUUAUAUUUUUGCGCCAGAUUCGACUCGGAUCAUUACUCGGACCUACUCGGCUCGUAAGUACUCGACUCGUUUACAAAGCGAGUUACUCAUGAGGCUUCAAAUCGAGUUUCGAAUAUGAACCAUUUCAUUUAAUACUGAACCACUACAUACUAAAUUGGUUACUUAACUAAUAUUUAUAUAUAAAAUUUUUUCACUUUUAUUUAUGUAUUGAAAUUAUAAAUAAUGUAAUAAAAAUUGAUAUUCAAUUCAUUGAUUUAUUCAAGUACAAGUUUACACAAUUUCACACUACACUUUAUAAAUUAUAAAAAUUGAUACAAAUAUCACAUAUUUUGCUUAUUAGCAAUAUUCGAAUAUGAUCCAUCGAGCAGGUAUCGAGUAUGGUUCGAGAAAAAAUGAAAUACUCGAACCCUAAUAUGAGCGAACACUGGUAGGCUCGAAUUCGACUCGUGUAUCAUUAAACAGAAAACGAGUAUGGAUCAGAUUCGACUUGGAUCAACUUCGAAUUCGAGCUUUGGAUCAUAUUUUCGAGCCGAUCUUGAGUCGAGUAUCGAACUACUUGGUUCAACUUACAUUAACCGAUCAUAAACAACUCUUACUUUAUUACAAUUAUUUUCAUUCUCUCCUUUAUAUUAAGAGGAAAUUGAUAAAUUCAUGAUAAUAAAUAAUAUUUUUAUAAUAAAAUCGUCGCUAUAGAUCUUAUAGCGAUAAUUUUUACCGUUUAGUUCGAUUUGGGCUUUAGCCUUCACGGCUAGGCCAUUUUUUUUUGGAACAAUUACAUUUUAUAGUACAUUUAAAAAUAUAAUUACAAGAAAAGUGCCCUCAUUAAAUAUUUACAUAAUUAAUAUCUUUAAAAUUUUAUUUUCAUUAUUAGUACAUAUUUAUGAUUCCUUUAAUUAUGGGAUGUGUUUUAAUUCUCAAUCAUCUUUCCCACAAUUUUCUCCCCAUCUCUCUCACGAUUUUCUCCCACUCCAUUUAUGUUUCCCUUCUUCUUCUUCUCCUCCCUCCCUCCCUCCGCCUCCUCCUCCUCCUCCUGUCCAACCCCUCCCCACUACAUUGGUUAUCCUUGAUUUUAGGUUUCUUUAUUAAUGUGAAUUGUACUAUUUUUGUAAUAUGAGUCUUAAUUAUACUUUUUUUAUAAUUAUUUAAUUGAUGCACUUUUCUUAUAAUUAUUUUCUAUUUGUUGUAUACUUAUGUAAAGGACCCUUUUUUUUUUGUCGUAGCCUACUGACUGAACUGAGCUAGUGUACCAAGCCUUAACUUUUAGUUUGGGAGAGGGUAGGUCAGUCCAUUACUGUUAUAAUAUAAAUGGUAAAAUUUGGAAUGCCUUGUCAAAUGAAAAAAUUUAUGUUCUUUCAUAAAAAAUUGUGUGACUUGGGAGGUGGAAGGAAUCACGAAAGCUUUAAAGGCCCAUUAAAUAAAUUCAUGCUUCUUGUGCAAAUAUUCACACACAAACGCACAUAGAGGAGAGAGAGAGGUGUCACAAGCAGCAUGGUGGGAACUAAGAGAAUGAUUUUAAUUAUUAUAUAUAUAUAUAUAUAUAUAUAUAUAUAUAUAUAUAUAUAUAUAUAUANNNNNNNNNNNNNNNNNNNNNNNNNNNNNNNNNNNNNNNNNNNNNNNNNNNNNNNNNNNNNNNNNNNNNNNNNNNNNNNNNNNNNNNNNNNNNNNNNNNNNNNNNNNNNNNNNNNNNNNNNNNNNNNNNNNNNNNNNNNNNNNNNNNNNNNNNNNNNNNNNNNNNNNNNNNNNNNNNNNNNNNNNNNNNNNNNNNNNNNNNNNNNNNNNNNNNNNNNNNNNNNNNNNNNNNNNNNNNNNNNNNNNNNNNNNNNNNNNNNNNNNNNNNNNNNNNNNNNNNNNNNNNNNNNNNNNNNNNNNNNNNNNNNNNNNNNNNNNNNNNNNNNNNNNNNNNNNNNNNNNNNNNNNNNNNNNNNNNNNNNNNNNNNNNNNNNNNNNNNNNNNNNNNNNNNNNNNNNNNNNNNNNNNNNNNNNNNNAAAAAUACUUUUUUUUUGUAAAGAGAAACAUUUAUAUAUAUAUAUAUAUAUAUAUAUAUAUAUAUAUUGUAGUACUAGUAUGUAUGUAUUAAAAUAUUUGGGGGUGUGGCAGAGGAGUGCAUUGAUUUCAGCACGCGGUUCGGUUGGGCCUUGGCAAUAAUACUUUGUGGGCAAGUGAAAAAGAGUAGCCAAUAAAAGCAUUAUUACACCCAUCACAUGAAUUAUAAGUGUAUUCAUUCUUCUUCUAAUCUGCCCCUUUGCUGCCCCUUUAAGCUAAGCAACACCCCAAUAAAACUUGCUUUUCCCCCAAUGAGAAAAAAAAGCAUAAUUAACAAUCAUAACUUUCAUCAAUGUAAAAUUAUGCUUAUAUACAUACACACACAUAUAAAUGAGUGAGUGAUUAACUAAUGUAAUUACACUUACUAUAGAACAUGAGAUAUAUAUAUAUAUAUAUAUAUAUAUAUAUAUAUAUAUAUAUAUAUAUUAUUUGAAAUGAGCUUAGCCAUUGAAAAAACUACUUCAUGACUAUUCAAUCAUCUGAUUAUCUAUUGGGUGAUAAUCUGAAUAAUGAAAUAAAUAUAUAUUUGAUAGAGCUUAAACUUUGUUUUAAGUAUAAUCAUCAAUGCUAACAAGACAAUUAUAUAUGCAAAAACAUCAUAUACAUAUAUAAAUAUAUAUACACACACAUUUUUAUCUUUAAUAACCAAUUAAAUUAACAUAUUUAUUUUAUUCCCUACUCUUAUCUAUUUGACAAGCCACUCAAGUAAGAAGCAAAUUUAGAGAACCAUCUCAUUAUUCCAUUGCUUUUCCAAUUAAAUUACAAAAAUACCCUUGUAACAUUAUCUAAUUUCCUUCAAGUCCCUCAGUUCCAAACUGAAAAUUUUUACAAGUAAAGAAACCCUGAUAAUUAAUUCCUUCAAGUAAGCACGAAGCAAACAUUAAAAAAUUAANNNNNNNNNNNNNNNNNNNNNNNNNNNNNNNNNNNNNNNNNNNNNNNNNNNNNNNNNNNNNNNNNNNNNNNNNNNNNNNNNNNNNNNNNNNNNNNNNNNNNNNNNNNNNNNNNNNNNNNNNNNNNNNNNNNNNNNNNNNNNNNNNNNNNNNNNNNNNNNNNNNNNNNNNNNNNNNNNNNNNNNNNNNNNNNNNNNNNNNNNNNNNNNNNNNNNNNNNNNNNNNNNNNNNNNNNNNNNNNNNNNNNNNNNNNNNNNNNNNNNNNNNNNNNNNNNNNNNNNNNNNNNNNNNNNNNNNNNNNNNNNNNNNNNNNNNNNNNNNNNNNNNNNNNNNNNNNNNNNNNNNNNNNNNNNNNNNNNNNNNNNNNNNNNNNNNNNNNNNNNNNNNNNNNNNNNNNNNNNNNNNNNNNNNNNNNNNNNNNNNNNNNNNNNNNNNNNNNNNNNNNNNNNNNNNNNNNNNNNNNNNNNNNNNNNNNNNNNNNNNNNNNNNNNNNNNNNNNNNNAGACCAAAAAUGGGGAGGAAAAGGGUGGGGGGUGGGGGGAUUCCAUGUAGGACUACUGCCACAUAUUGAGAAUAUUACUAGUCAUUAUUUCCUAAUUCUAGGUUGACCAUUUGAGGAUAAUUUGGGGAAAACAAUUUCAAUUUUCUUUUUUCCUUUUUCCUUUUUUAAGGAAUGUCAUAGAUGAUAGAACAUAAUUCCAUCAUUUGGUUCCCUCUAAACAGGAACCUGCCAUCACAAAAAUUCAGGUCCAAGCAACAACCAGACCACUUCCAAAGUGUCUAUAAAACCCAGUUCACACAUCCCAAAUGAUUCAAUCCAAAACAGCAUCACUACUUCCUUGUAUUAUCAGACUAACAAAAACAAACAACAUAGCCCUCAUGCAUCCUCUUCUUCUCUGUGCUAUCUUUUCCUUGCUCUCCAUUACUACAUCUCAAGACCGAUCUCCCCACGGACUCGCUCAUGAAAAUCCAAUGGCGUUCUCACCAUCGGCAUUCGAGUUUUUCCAUCCAGACAAUCGUCAGCCGAGUAAAGUAAACCCCUGUGCUGCAUCAGGUUGCUCGCCAUUGCCUAUAGCAGCAACAGUGCAGUCAAGUCUGGCAUAUGCAAGCAGAUCAACACAAAAUAGGGGUGGCAGUGGAAUAAGAGCUGGUGGCAUUGCUGGUAUAAUUUUUGGCUUUGUAUUUGUCGUGUUUUUGGCAAUGGGUGUUUACUAUGUUGUAAUCAAGCGUGUCGCCAAUAUGAGCAAAAAUAAUUCUGCUCAAGCUGAAGCUUGAUACACUACCAGUAGUCUCACUCGCCAUCCAAAAAAGACAACGCGUGCUUCUUUCAAUAUUGAUAGGAGAUGUAUUUAUGAUUGUUAUUAGCAAUAGAGGGUGACACGAGCUAUAUUCAUAUUCACCAGUCCACUGUACUAUUUCCCCUCCUAGGUAAUUAAAAUUUAAAUUAUUUUUCUAAAUUAGCAGUUAUUUCCUGAUACUUGUCUUUUACUUUUGAACUUCUAAAGUUAUCUGUUGAUUUUAAACCCACAAUCAUACCAGAUUGUAAUCAGAUGACACUAACAUGCCUAUUAAGAGAUUAAGGAGAUCUAAAAGAAAUAUGCACCAUAAACUUCACCAAAAUAAUGAAUUAACUCACCUCCUUUUCAGUGAAUGAGGUUAGUAUGAAAAUCUGCCAAAUGAACACACCAAAAAGUAAACCAAGAGAAGGAAAUAGGACACAUAUGAAUGUCGAAUUAGUAUCAAUUAUCAAACAAUCAUUACCAUAUUACAUAAAAUAAACAGUACUGAAGAUAAACUAAUAGUCUAUCAAUCAAACGUAGUAAUAGGUUAGUAAUGGUUCUCAUUAGUAGAAUCAGCCUCUAAGAUGAUCAAACUAUCUACUACUGUGCACAACUUUUGACUAGCAUACAUUCAUUGUUAUAAAAUGAACAAAACUCAAACUAGCAGUAAUCAAUGACUGAGUUCACGAUAGAUUCAUGGAAGGAAAAAGAAAUAGAGCGUACAUGGUAUAAAUUAAACGCAGAAACUUAAUAAUCGUGGCUUUAUGCUUCCUUCUAAUAUAUUAAAACCAAAAAUAAAUGCUCACUAUUUUCUUAUGAUUAUCUAAAAACAAUUCACUUGGAGAAAGGUGAUGAGAGCGUGUUGAAAAUGGUGCCAAAUUAAUAAGAAUCACUAGAACCCAAUUCUUAAAUAAUUCAAGCAAGAGGCUGCAAGUAUGACUAAAUAGGCAAUUAGCACAGACUUGCAAUAUAAUUAGAUCCAGCUGAUUCAGACAAACUGCUACCAAAUCGAGCCUCUUCGCACUAAUAUCAAGUUAGAGAGCAUGAAGCUAAUUUUAGGAUGGCCAUCAGUAAAGCUUUGCUCGGCACAAUGAUCUACUUAACUUCAAAUAAGAUAGACAUCUUUUAACUAAUCUUCUAACACAUAUUGAUUGUGGUUGAUUCCAGUCAACGAAGGUUACAAAACAUAUGCCAUUUUCUGGGAAUGAACAAAUUAUAUGUAUUCACAAUAUGAACACAAUGACAAGAAGUCAUGCCCAUCAAAUGGACAAAGAAUAGAUUGGCAGAACACAGCCACUUUUACAAUUUAGAUGUUGUAUAUUAAAGACAGCUUCAAGAGAGGAUUCACUGAAAUAGGUUUCAAUUGAACAUUACAACAGCUAAAUUUUUUUGAAGAGAUGUUACUUGUCAUGAAGACAAAGCUCCAGCACUCGCCUUGCCCCUUUUGUAACUCAGAAGAGGAAAGAUCGGGUGAGCCAUAUUAUAAAUUGCACAAAAAGUAAAGCAAAAAUUCAUACAUUAGUAGAAAAAUAGUCCAAUAUCUCUACUUUCCACGUGAGCUAAAAGACUCAAUUACAUGUCCGAAAGUCUGAUCCACAGCUUUGUUCCAUAGGUGGGAAAAUUCCAGACGAGAUUUCUUCCCAAAAAUAGGCUCCCUUAUCUGAUAAGUUGAAAGAAUAAAGUUUAAAAUUUGAAGAGGUAAGACCAUGGAUUCAAUAUUUUUUUAUCUAUUUCAUGAACUUAAUGAAUAUGGAAAUUGCAAAUGCAUAAAUUCUGAGUUACUCAACACAUGAACUAAUAACUCGUCCUUCUACUGUAAUGCGUAAAACCUUGAUAUGAAAAUAAUGGAGGCAAGAUUAUUUAGGAAACCACAUAUACAAAACACACAACACAGCAGUUCCACUAAACAUAGUCAAAAAUCAGCAUGAUGUCCUUAACAAAUCAAUGUCAAAUCCAUGAAAAUGGUCUACAAGUAUUGCACUUUAACAAAUAUAUCACUCGUUUGAUACACGAGACAUGGAAUUAAAUGAGCUAAAGACACAAUGCGAGGCUCCCAUUAGCUGUUCAAAAUAGCAGACAGUAGUGUAUACAAUAUGUACAUAUAGAUCGUGUAUUAAUCGAAUCAAAGGAAAUCAUAGGCAUACACCAGUGGCUUUGACAAAGCUUUUGGCAAUGCCAUUAAGGUGGGUGACCCAAAUCAACUGGAAGAAGAAAAAAGUUACACGCAAAUAGGAAAUGCGGAAUUUGAGAAGCAAAAUCCAGAUAUUACUAUCAACUUAGUGGUUUGGAGGUUAUUGCAUUCUUUCAACAAUGGUGGUUCCAAACAGAACUUGUGGAAUCCACAUUCACAAGGUGUUGAAUACACAUUCACAAGGCAUUGAAUCUCCUUCAUUAUUGACUGCCACAUCCUCACCAUCAAUCUCUCCUUCAGAAUCAAAUAAAGCUUCUAUUCCUACCAAAUAACAUUUCUUUUGUUCAUACCAAAUAAUAUAGACAUAGAUCCCUCAAGAACCAACAAAUGAAAAUUUCCUGUAACUUUGACUUUGGUGUAUACUUUUGCUUCUAACUGUUAGUUGUGUGCAUGUGCGUGUAUGCGAAACACAACAAAGCAAACGUACCGAUUAUUCCCUAAAUUUGCAUGAGAAUCCAAUAUAUUGCUCACUAAACAGUGUUUAAGACAGAAUGUAUAUGUAUGGUAGGGAAAGAAUAAUAAAUUGGAUUAAGGAUCUUACAGAUAUGGUUAUAGUAAAGACUGGGUGAUGAAACGCUGGGAAAGAAAGUGUGCUCUGAUGUUUAUAGAAUGCUAACAGCAAUGGUAUAGGGAAAAAAUGCAGUGCUUUUCCAGAAGAUGACAACAAAUGAUGAUGUGGUAUCACAGUUACAAAAUAGCCCUAUUAGUAGUGCUGAGUGCUGACAAUGGCCAAGUAUGUUCUGCACCCUCAACGAAUUCUGUUUGGUAUACAAAAGUUUAGAAAAAAACUGAAAAUCAGGAGGAACUUUUUUCAAUCUAGAAACAGACACAUGUACUCAACAUCCCUUACCUAUUACCUAAUGCAACACGCAAGGGAGGAUAAAAUUUAAAUUGAAGGCCGUGUCCCAUACCUACCAAUCAGAGUUUUUUUAAUACAAAUUUAAGCAACAAAACACUCUCAUUAACAAUAAAAUUUUCAUUGUUGUCAAAGAAAAUACUCCUUCCGUUCCACGAAAAUCCCAUUUCACUUUCAUCCUAGCUAAUUUGUAAAAUCCUAAAUUUAAACUGCAGUGUAAAUAAUUUUAGAAAUUAUUUUUGAAUUUUAAGAUUUCCCAAAUUAAAAGGAACUUUUAUAACAUAAGAACUAAGCAGCUAAAUAUUCUCUCAGAUUUGGGCGAAAUGGGGCAUAAAGCCACACAUUUGGUAUUUCAGACAAAUUAUUGAUAUAUAUAUAUAUAUAUAGAGAGAGAGAGAGAGUCCCGAUCCUGUCCGGACUCCCGGACAGGACUAAAAUGCGGACCCCAAAAUUUAUUUAUUUUUGCUUUUUUUUAAAUACAACUAAAAAAAAAUAUUUAAUAUUUUAUGGAAUUGAAAUUUUUUCAUAAUACAGUAUUUUGGACGUGAUUUGGGUACGUAUAACAAAACAUGUAUGUUCAGUCUGUGCAGACUGUACCACCAUUUUUUGGUAUAGGUAUUCAAAUCACCCCAAAACAUUGUAUUAUGAAAAAAUUUCAGUUCCAUAAAAUAUUAAAUAUUUUUUUUUNNNNNNNNNNNNNNNNNNNNNNNNNNNNNNNNNNNNNNNNNNNNNNNNNNNNNNNNNNNNNNNNNNNNNNNNNNNNNNNNNNNNNNNNNNNNNNNNNNNNNNNNNNNNNNNNNNNNNNNNNNNNNNNNNNNNNNNNNNNNNNNNNNNNNNNNNNNNNNNNNNNNNNNNNNNNNNNNNNNNNNNNNNNNNNNNNNNNNNNNNNNNNNNNNNNNNNNNNNNNNNNNNNNNNNNNNNNNNNNNNNNNNNNNNNNNNNNNNNNNNNNNNNNNNNNNNNNNNNNNNNNNNNNNNNNNNNNNNNNNNNNNNNNNNNNNNNNNNNNNNNNNNNNNNNNNNNNNNNNNNNNNNNNNNNNNNNNNNNNNNNNNNNNNNNNNNNNNUUUUUUAAAGACUUUUUUUAAGCGAAAUUUGUGAGUUUUAAUGACUUUUAAACGAAUUUUUUAAAAAUAAUUUUUAUAAACUCUAUAAAAUAAGUAACAACAUUUUUAUAAAUUUUUUUAUCAAGAUUGUGAUAAAUUUUUGUAUAUUUUUAAUAUAUAAAAUUGAAAAAUUAUUAUAUUUAAGAUUAAAAUUUUGCUACACAGUUAAAUUAUUUAUUAUAUUUUUAGUACAUAUAUUAUAAAUAAUAAUUCCUUGCUUAUGAUAACAACUUUCAGAAAAUAUAUUAUACAAAAUUUUCAAGUUAUGACAAUAUUAUUUUAUCUAAACAUUAUAAUACUAUAUAUAUAUUAUAAUAUAUUUAUUAUAUGACUUCUGAUUAUUUAAUUAUUGGCUCCAUAAUUUUAUUAUUUUUCAUUCUUGUGUGUGAGCGUGUAAUUCAAUACAAGUGAUUAUAAUCAACCAAAAUUAUACAUAUUAUUUUGUAUAUUUUUUAUAUAACAAUUGUUUGACCUGUUUUUUUAUAAUAAUUAUUUAGUAUUAUUAAAAUUUGAGACUCACGGACUCACCCAAAUUAAAAAUCCAUUGUUUGUGUUUUUUAGUCAACCCCGUUUCAGAUCUGAUCCUCUUCGUCUCUGCUGUCGAGGCACGUUCUCUCUUUCUAUCUACACACAAACACAGACACAACCAGAACCACAAACACAAACGUUACCUUCCAAAUUGCAAGUAGCAACCGCCCUGACUCCCAUUUUUCAAAAAUAUUCUCUUUUCUCCACUUAAAUUUUCAGAUCACUUCAACAAUGGCGAUGAUAUUUCAUAGACUCUCAUUCGCAAUCCUCUUAUUACUUCUCUUAGUCCAAUCCACUCUCUCCGCAGAUCCGCCCGAGUCCUCACCUACUCCGUUGCCGGAACCAAGCACUGCUCCCCUCUCUCAUCCACCUUCCAGUCCCUCGCCUUCGCCGGAACUCCAUUCUCCACCUGCGCCCCAGCCGUCCGCUCCAGGUUCGGCUCCUGCGCCGUCAAACUCCUCUUCUCCGGCUCCGGCUCCGGCUCCGGCUCCGGCUCCGGCUCCGGAUGUUGAGAGUGAUGUAAAUAACGAGAACGAGAGUUCUGAGAAUGGAGAUGGUAAGAAGUCGUCCGGUGGAAUGAGCGGCGGGCAGAAGGCCGGCAUUGCUUUCGGAGUUAUCGCCGGCGCAUGUGUAGUCAUAGUGGGAGGAGUAUUGUACAAAAAACGACAGGGUAAUAUCCAGCGAUCUCAGUACGGGUACGGCGCUAGGAGAGAAAUGCUCUAGAAGAUUCAUACAUAUAUUUUUAGAAAAAUUUAUCUCUACAUAGAUGAAUCUUUUGCUAUGAGAUAUACAGAUUCGUAACAUUGAGUUUGCGAAGUGGUGAUUUGUUAAAUUCUUUAUUACUAUAAUAAUUUAAUUUUUCCCCGAUCUUUUUAGAUUGAAUUGAUAGUGGUCGGUUGAUAUUAGUGGUAAUUGUCAUUAAAGUAAAACUGGAAAACAAAAGGUAAAAUAGCACUUGAGUUGGUGAUAAUUUUGUACUAACAUGUAUCAAAUUUUGAUAUAUUUCUGCGUUGAUAUACACACUGCACCAACUUGUCAUCGUUUUGGUUGUUAAUAUAACUAAAAUCUUACCCUCCUUUCAUUUGUUUGGAUUGGCUACAUCCAUUCACAUUUCUCCACUCCCUUUCAAUACACUAAUUUUUUAUGAAAAAUAAUUUUGUUAGUAAUACUCAAAAUAAGUUAAUAUAUAGUUGAUGGCAGUAAAAUUAAUUCUAUAAAAAAUUAGAAUCAUUAUGUUAAAAAGUAUAAAAAAAAUUCAAUCAAAUGGUGAAAAAAUAUUAGAUUACUUUUAUUAUUUUUAAAACAAUUAUGUUAUUUAAUAUAAUAAAUUAGUUGAUCAAUAUCGAUUUUAAUUAUAUUAUUCACAACUAUAAAAAUAUGGUGUAUUUGAUGUAUAAUGGAGGGGAUUCAAUCCCAUUUUUUGUUUAUAUAGUAAUUGUUUUUACAAUUUCGAAACUUAUGAUAUGAAUUAUAUGAAGACUUCACUUAUUACACAUUUUUUACAAAAAUUACUACUAAUAAUGUAACAUACAAUCAAAUAAUCAAUAUAAAACAUUUACAAUAUAUAUUAUAUCAUUGUUUGAAGCUUCAAUUAGAGUAGAUCUAAUCAUAUAAAUGCAAUAAUUUCAUAAUUUCCUUAAAAAUAUGUGUUUUACAAAUUUAUCUCUAAUUUUUUAAUGAAAGGACCUACCUAUUUAUUUCAUAUCUUCUUUGUGCCACAUGUUCUAACUUUUAGUUGUUGGAUGAAUUAAUUUUCCCGGUUUUAUGAUCCUAGCUUUUUUAAUUUGUUUAAAAGUUUCAUGGUGAGUUUUUCAACAAAUGGUUAAAGUUCCAACUCUUAUAUUAAAAAUAAAAAUAAAAAUAUGAGAUUAAAUAUGAAAUUAGGGCUAUAUUUAUUUGCAAAGAUUACACUUGCGAUAAGACUAUUAAUUUCAAGUGUCUUGUUUAUUUUUAAAUUUGAGCUUAAGACUAUUAGUCCUGAAAUUAUAAAAUAAUGUGAGAUUAUUUAAUACCAUGUUCUACAUGGUAUCAUAAUCCCUACCAUUUGGAAUUAAAAAUUACUUUACAAAAUUAACCUCAUCUUUUUCUAAAAUGACCAUAAUAUCCUGCAAUUUCUGUUAUUAUUACUCGCAACUUAAAACUUACUAGUACAAAGACAAAAUAUUUUUUUUGGGGAGGGGAGUGGGGUUGGGGGUGGGCAGGGUGAAAUGUAUAUAUAAUCACAGAAUAUUACUCCAUCCGUUUUUAAAAGAUUGUCGUUUAAGGUUUUGGCAUAUGGAUUAAGGAAGUGUCAUUUACCAAGUAAAAUUUGUUUGAAAUUCUAUCACUACCCCUUUAUGGGAAAUUGAAAACUAUUAAUACAAGGAAGAGAAUUUCUUGGGACAAUGAGAGAAGAUAGAGGUAAUAUAGAAAAAUAAAUAAUUUAUUCUCUUCGAAAGUUGUAAAUGACAAACUUUUUAGAAUAAAUUUUUUCUCCUAAAACGACAAUCUUUUAAGAAUGGAGGGAGUAUUUUUUUUUGGAAGGGUGGAGUGUGGGGAUGAGCGAGUGAAGGUUUAUACAUAAUCAGUAAAUAUUUUUUUUUUUUUUGGGACGGGCAAGGUGGAAAUGUAUAUAAUUAAAAAAAUAUUAUUAUUUUGGGAUCGGAGUCGGAAGAUGUAUAUAUAAUCAAUAAAUAUUUUUUUUGAUGUAUUAAUAAGUUUAAAAUAUGUUAUUAUUGAUAAAGAUAUAAUAGUCCAAAUUUAUAUGUUUUUAGUUAUAAAAAUAAUGGAAACCAAAGCCUAUUUGUCUGAUUGACUGAUAAUCUAGUAAUCUACAAACAAAAAGAGUGUGCUCUUUGAUGUGAGGAUCCGUCAACUAAAAAUAAUGGAAACCAAAGCCUAUUUGUCUGAUUGACUGAUAAUCUACACACAAAAAGAAUCUGCUCUUUGAUGUGAGGAUCCGUCAACCAGGAUCACAAUGAUUUUAUAUGUAAUCUAAUUGUAAGCAUUCAUCUCGCCUUACAUAUAGCAGGCUGCUAAAGGGAACAAGUUCCCACACCAGCAUUGAUCUAAGAAGCUAUGGGAAGAAGAAACCCCAGAUACAGACAAUAAAUAGUGCCUACUGCAGAACCCUACUCUUCUGCAGGAGGGUCGACCCAGCGGCCAUGAUCUUUUAUUAGCUGGAUUAAGGCACCAGUUGCUUGCUCCAUUGCGAUUGCUCGUUUUACCACCGUCUGAAAUACAACCAAUGAUCAUUAAGCCACUAAUUCAAUAAAGAAAUUGAUAAGCAAAUGAAUCAAUGAUCAAUUAUAUCUUGCUCCUCUAAUUCAAUUAAUUAAGCCACUUGUUUAUAACUCGGAAAGUUUAUGGAGAUAUAAAGUAAAUAAGAAACUAUAAAUGAUGAGAAAAGUUUCAACAAUCCAUGACACCUAGUUUUAGCAUUAUACUUGAUAUCAUGUAUAUUUUUCCAAAUAUGUACUUUGUAUUCAUUUUCAUUGAAAGAAUGUUUUAUAUUUUUUAUUUUACUGUUACUUUUCUUUUCUUUGUCCAUCCCUUCCCCUCACUUUUUCCAAAGUCCAAAGGAAAUGCAAAGCUCUACUUCAGAUGACAAGAGUUGUUCAUCUCCAAGAGAUGAAAUAACCUACUCCUACAUUCUAAGAAGGCUUCACAACAGAUGGAAUUCAACAGAUUUCUUCAUCCUUUGACGAAGAUUAAGGCAAAUUUGAGCACGAUUGUACGAUCUAAAGCUACAGAAUAAGGGGACAGGGAAAUUUCUGGGAAAAGCUGCUCCUAAAAGAACUUGGCAUGAUGGGUUGAGCACCACUGAAGUUUAAAUGCAUAAGCUAUUAGUGCAGUGUAAACCUAAUUCUACAUAAAUUGAUGAAAUAUAAUGACGGUGAUUGAUAUUAAAUCAACUCGAGCUAGAGAAAUAUCGAUUCCAGCAAUGAUAACGAGUUUUUCAAACAUCCUAAUUACAGAGCUAGUAGUUCUAGCUUCCAAUUUUUGUCCAAGUACAAGUGGGUAUGCAUAUGCAUGCAAGAAAGGAUUGGGCAAGAAUUUAUAACAUUAACCGAGAGACCAAACACUAAGCCAUGUCUCAUGUCAAAGAGAAGUAAAAGUUUUACCUUCCCGACGUAAAGGUCAAUCUUUCCUGGAGCACCACCAACAUACCCAAAAUCUGCAUCAGCCAUCUCCCCUGGUCCAUUUACAAUACAACCCAUGAUUGCAAUCUGCAACAAAAAAGAGGAAGAAGUGAGUGACACAAUACAUUUGUUUACUCAGAGUAGAAUUGGUUCUAAUCGAAAUUAUCUAAUCACGGAGGACAAAGAGGGAUGGUGAUUACUGAAACACCAGGCAAGUGCGAUGUCUUCUCUCUUAUUUCUGCACUUAUUUCUUGAAGGUCAAAUAAAGUCCUGCCGCAAGAUGGGCAUGAGACAUAUUCCUGCAAUAAGAAUGAGGAUAACUAUUAAGUAAAUCAGUAAUUGUUAUCAUCAAUUUCAGCUAUUUUGGUUCCAAAUUAAUCCAUACCGUCUUUGUAUUCCGCAUUCUGCAACCUUGUAGCAAAUUGAAAGAUGUAUUCCUAAGAAAAUCAAAAUCCUGGUCUGGGGCUUCUAAUAAGAUACCAUCUCCAAGACCAUCUACUAAAAGAGCUCCAGCAUUGGUACCAGCACCAAUGACUAAGUCAUCCCUAAAAGUAAUCAGAGAAAAUGUAAACACAAAAUGUCUCUGACUCUCAUAAUUAGUGUUGGUUAUGUGGUUACCUGUGAAUUCCUUUUGGAAAUUUUAUGUGAUGAAUUACAGGGAAGUUCAAAGAAUUUUCUGAAAGAUAUUCAAAUAGCCUGCCAUCAUUAAACCAUUCAGAGUAUCAGCACCUUCAAUAGUUGGGUUUUUUUUGGGGGGUGGGGGGAUUUCAAAAUGACAAUUGUCCAUAUACUACUGUCCAUUUAUGUUUCAAUGUGAUAAAGCUACAUCAAACCAAAUGCUUUAAUCAAAUUGAUGAGAAUUAAUGGCUAAUUUAGUUUAGUACUCUAAGUUGGAAUUUGGUUCCAUUUCUUAUUUCAAUAUAUUUGAGCUAGUAGAUCAGGAAAUACUCAUUUAAUCAAAAUGCUAUUUGGACAUGACACAUGUGGCAGCUAAACUAAUUCUUCAUUCCAAACCAAUCUGGGUUGUGCUUAAGAUAACUCGCACACUAUUGGAAGGUCAAGGAAGUGCAGUUAUUAAAUCUGGCAUAAGUUGAUAUUGUCUCAUUUGAUAGUACAUAUUUGCAUAUACAUGCAUGCAGUACCGGCCCUGGGCUAAAGCCCAAGGUGCCCGGGCUUUAGGCCCAAAAAAUUUUUAGGGCCCCCUUAAAUAUUCUCUUCCUUUUAUUACUUAAAUAGAAUACUUAAAUAUUAAAGCAAAUAAUCAAUCUGUAAUAUUCUACAUAUACAGAUUAUUGUAAUAUUCUACAUAUUUAAAGCAUAUAAUUUGUACAAACAAUUUAAUUAUUAUGUACCUGGGGGUUCAUCAUCAGAUUCAGUUUUUUGGGUUUUUUUAAUUGUUUGGGAGUAGUGUUAGACUCUUAAUAAAGGAGGCCCUAUUUGGUAAUUAUUUUUUUGACUUAGUGAUAAUGUGAUAUCUAAAUGAUGCUUUGGAAAUAUUGAAAUAGUCGGUUAUUAUAUUUGAUAUUCUUUCGUAUUGAUGCUCUUUUGUUCAGGGUUCUUCCUUUUUUUUGCCUGUCUUAAUAGCAAUUCGCUAAAGGCCCAUUUUUUUUGUUGUCCGCUUUAGGCCCUUCAAAACUCAGGGCCAGCCCUACAUGCAUGUGCUUGUGUUUGUCUGUGCAUGUAUGUUUACAUCUAUUUGUUUAUACAGGUCUGUAUGUGCAUGUGUGUGUAUAUAAAUAAAGUUUAUUUACAGCCUCAAUAAAGGUUUUAAUUGCUUAACUCCUUCAACUAAGGUCUAUGCACUAUGCAGUUGAAGAGUCAUUCAUGUUUAUACCUCCUGGCUGCCUGUACUCUGCCAAUUUUCUCUUCAGUAAAUGGUAGGUCAUGGAAAAGCAUGGUAGCAUCAAUGCUCUUUAGGAAUUCCAGCUCGUCCUGUGGUUCAUCACCACGUACGGACACUACCAAGCGUGUGCCUGUAAACAAGUUUUUAACAAAGUAGUUACAAGAGCAUUCUACAAUAAGAUUUGCAACCAAUUGAGGGUGCUGAAAGAAUUGUAACUAAAGACACACCUUCAGGUAAAAGCUUGUGAGCACCAGUUGAUAAUUCCUUGAGAGUAGCAAGGACAAUGGCAUUAGGCAAAGGCUUCGUCAGUUGCUCUGACAGAGGAGUUAUCACUCCCAUGCUUACAUCUAUCAACCUUUUGAGAGCUAGUUGCUGAUCAUGCACAAGGAAUAAUAUCAGUCAUUCCACACCUCAACUCAAUUGAAUUUAAACAACAAAUAACGGUUUAAACUUCAAGGCCGAGUUUAAAACAUUUAUCAUGACUAAAAGAAACUAAAAUAAGGAAUCCUCUCAUCAAAAGUAAAAAGAUCAAACAGGAAGUACAGUCCUUACAGCAUCUUUAUCAUCUACUGGUGGAAGCUCUCUUAAUAAGAUUGAGUCCACAGUUGCCAGGUCCUAAAUCAACAUCAGUCUGAUUAAUAACCAGUUAUGCAUACCAUAGAUGCAAAAAGUUCUUUGUGUAGACAUUUUGCAAUAAAAAGAAAGUAGAAGUAAACCUUAAAUGGCAUGCCAACAACGAGUUUCGCAGCUAGUGAUCUGUAGAGGAGUUCAGGUGUCUGACCAAAGGGAGAAGAAAAUUUUAAGAUAGAAGCUCAGACAGCAAAUAUGAAAAAAAAACAUGCAAGUUAGAAAAAAACAAGAAAAUUUCAUAUGGAAGUACUUAAUAAAAGAUUAUCAAAUAGGAUAAAAGAACUCCAAUUCUAAGUGCAACCUUCAACUGAUCCAAGGAAACGGACAUGAGAACAGAGCCAUCUCGGUGGAGGGCACCUCUAUAAUCUACCUCCUCGCCCUGUUAUAAAAUCAAGUGAAUAAUUAUAAGUUUCAGAAGCUAACUACUGUAACAAGUUGGUACAGGGUAUAAAUUUCCCUUAAUCUGACCUCCUGUUGUACUGGAAGUUGACCAGUUCUUCGUUGAAAAUCAAAAUAACGUCUGUGCUUUUCUUCAAAUGGUGCCUGAUUAAAUAAUUAGCAGAGUACUAUAUAAAAAUGUAGUUAAAAAGUUUAAAAUUUAGAGUGCUUAAGGAUAGAAGUGAAUGAAAAAUAUAGUAAAUCUUACCACGCCUUGCUGCAAAUUAGCAGCUCUCAUACCAAGGUUAGCUAGCCUACUGCAGGGGUCUAUUUCUUCCUCUGGAGGUUCUGUAAGGGAAACUCUGAUCGUAUCCCCCAAACCAUCCUGUAUAUAAAAAAUUGUAAAGAUUACAUGAUUGUGGUUUCCAGAAUCUACUAGAACAUAGUAAGGUUCAAAAUAAAUUUACCACAUGAUUUAUAUCAGAUAAAUUUCAUCCAAAUGGAUGUGGAAUUCACUAGAAUGACAAAACAUAUGAUUUCUUAAUGCUCAUAUUCCGAUCAAUAUAGAAUUUAUUAUAUAGAAAAGCACCUGAAGAAGUGUUCCAAUGCCAAUUGCAGACUUCAUCCGUCCAUCUUCUCCCUCACCAGCUUCAGUAACUCCCAAGUGUAAUGGAUAAUCCCACCCCUGAACAUACAUUUCUGCUACAAGUAGACGGUAUGCCUGGACCAUGACAACUGGGUUGCUUGCUUUCAUUGAGAAGACAAAAUUAUGGAAGUCCAGCUUCCUACAAAUUCUUGCAAACUCAAAGGCAGAUUCAACCUGUUUUAAAUCAAGAUGCGGACGAUACCGUUGAGUUCAGUACAAUGAUAAAAAAGAUAAGCAGGUAAUCUUCUAGCAGCUUAACAAAAGAUCUGUUUACCAUUCCCCUAGGAGAAUCUCCAUAGUAACUCAUUAUACGAUCUGAAAGGCUCCCAUGGUUUGUCCCAAUGCGCAUUGCCCUUCCAUAUUUCUUACAUUUCUCAACCAACGGAGUAAAAACCUGGUAUACCAGAAAGAGAAAAUAUAUGAGACAUGUAAACCACAUCUUAGGUGAAAGGCCCAUAUUUUCAUUUUAUCUUAUUUUGUAAAUGUGAAUAAUAGAGAAUAUAUAUGAGUAGAAUCAGAUUGAAUGGAAUAUGAGGCUGUUAGACAUAGGCAUGCAAAAUAACAUGGUAGGCGCCAGGACAACAUGAUUGUUUCUUCUCUUUCUUGUCUUCUUUCCUAGGUUAUAGGUAGUUAACUUCGACAUGCAGAUGACUGGUUGCUACUUGUUAGUUGAAAUGGUGGACGAUAUGGUAGAGUUCUCAGAGUAAUAUUAAAAUGAAUGGAUUGUCAGGCCCCUAGUCCUUUUUAUAAGAAUACACAACAUUAUGACAGUUUGAUAAAAUUAUAAGAAAGAUGAAAAUGAAGACAAUGUCUUUGUGCACCAUCAUUACGUGUGCACGAUGACCACCUCUUACCCUGGUCUCAGUGAUAGCAUAGCCUUUUAAGACUUGUUGUCAGAGUGUUCAUUUAAUUUAGAAGGAAAUGUGGAGCAAGGUAACAUGGGAGUUGUUUCAAACUGGAAUUACUUUCAGUUUAAAAAUGGCUUCUAUUAUGAAGUCCAAAUCUUGCUCCAGUUCUGUUUUUUUUUUUUGUGAUUGAUAGGAAAUCCUAGAAUAGAUGAAGUUUUUUCCUUAAUUCUUUCUUCCUUUCUUUAAAUGUAUGGAAUACCAAAAAGAGAUUCUAUCUGUACGAAAGUAUAGAUGACAUCAUCGGUUAUAGUUGUUAAUAGAGACACGACAAGUUGACUUCCCAUCUAUUUAUACCAUCCAUUUUCACUUCUUUACUUUUUCACUAUAUCCUUGUUUCUUUAUUACAUGCCAUUUUGUGGAAAGAGAAUCGCACUUUAUCAUCAGCACAAUUGUCAAAGGAUGAGUGGUCUGACCUGCUCAAUAUGCUCCAGUUCUUUUUGAUAGUCAUCCUCUGUGUACUCCAGUGUCUCAAACUGAGCCCGUCUAUCAGCUGACAGGAAAUGGAAUCCAAUAAAUUAGAUCCAACAUAGUUUUUAUAUAAAAUCUAUCAAUACUUCAAUAGAACCAAUUAGUAGAGAAGGAAAUACCAAAAUUUCCUGGGUUGACACGAAUUUUGUCAAAGCAUUCAGCAACGCGAAUUGCAAUAGGAGGGGCAAAAUGAAUGUCUGCCACCAGAGGAAUGUUAUAACUGCAUAAACAGAUAAUUAGUGAGAUAAAAUACACUCUUACGUAAUAUUGAUUCAAAAUAUCCACCAAAGCAUAUGAUACUUAAGACGACCUACUUUUUUUGAACAAGGGAGUUUUUAAUCUCAAAGCAUGCAUCUGCUUCCUUUUUCCCUUGCACUGUUAUGCGGACAAGAUCGGCUCCCUUAUCAGCUAUCCGCAUCACCUACAAUUAAGGAAAUCAACCUGAUAGUCAGUCAUCUGCAGAAAGAAUGUUAAGAUGGGCAUACAAGCAAUGUCAAAACAUCAAGUGGGGAAUGUUGGGGUGAACCAGAAAAGUUUGACCUUGGGCAUUUCCUAAUCAUAGGAGUUUGAUUAUGAGUCCAAAUGAACUCGUGAAAAUAUUAAUUCGUAAAAUUUCAUUUCAAUAUAAUUAUAUUUGCAUCUAGUAUGUUGCAUCAAGUGCUGCUGCCUAUAAACCUAGGAGUUUGACUGUAAUACAUCAGAAGCUAUCAUUGAAAAGUUAUCUAUUGUGAUAAUUGUAUGUAUCAUUUACAAUUUCAACCCUUUUUGGUAGGUCCUCUUAAUCAAGUGGAUGGACUGUUUUUAGAAAAGACAGAGAAAACCUGUCAGAAGAGAUGGGUGAUCUUAAACUAUAAAUAGUUUAUGGUGCGUUUAUAUGUGAGGCUUGCACAUAUAUGCUGGUUGAAAGAAAAGGAAAACAAAGCUAUAGUCACUAUGUGUUUCUAAGUCGCUUCAUUACAAUAACUCCAGCUCAUCCAUGUUCAUCAUGAGCUAUUGUAGCAUGUCGUUGUGUAGUGCACAACAAACUUCAAAAGACGUCAGGAAAAGAAAGUAAGGACAGAAAGAAACAUUUCAAGAGAUAAAUGUUAGUAGAAUAGAUAUCUUCUGUUUAAACUUUACUAAAUUGGAAGAAAGAAAUAUAGCAGUGGGCCAAUUAUAUUCUAGAUGCUAUCGUAGAAGAGAAAUGGAAAUGUAAGAACCUGCUCCACUGUUCCUGCAACAUCCUUAGUGUCAGUUGUGGUCAUCGUUUGAAUUCUUAUAGGAUGUUCGCUGCCAAUAGCCACAUUUCCAACCAACACCGUGCUGGUUUUUCUCCUUACAGUUUUGUGUGUGGAUUCACAAUACUUUUGCCGAGGAACUACAUUCAAAAAUUAACUGAUCAUACUUUUAUAUAUACAACGCUAUAAUUUUGCACGAUCCGGUUGGAUAAUUAGGAAAAUACAUUAAAAAAAUGUCAACUGCAAAUGUUGUUCUUUUGUCACUGACCAGCAAUAACAAUAACUCACUUGGUAAACUAUGAGUGUAAUAUCCCGAAAAAAAUAAUAAAAUAAUAUUAAAUUUAUAUUCUUAAAACAUAUUGUUUGGAACUUGUCAUUUAUUUGGGUCAAACUAGUUAUUUAAAUUAUGUGGGCUAAUAAAUAUUAAUAAGUGAUAGAUAAUAUUAUGUGGUUAAAAUUUGGGCCUUAAUAUUAAUUUAACCCAAAGAGAAGUUUAUUAGGGCAAACCUAAUUAAUAAAUAGCUAAACCUAAUAUUACUUCAUUAUACAAACUGAAUAAGAAGAGGUGGCUACUUUGGAGAUAAAGGGAACAGCUACAAAGGGGGCUCAGGUGAAGAAAGACUAGUGAUUUUGAUCACUAGUGGAGAAAUUUCAUCAGUAAUAAGUAAGUAUAUUAUCCAUUAUAUAAAUGGGGAUAAAUCACGUGAUUUCAUAUUAAAUUAUUAAAUUUAGUAUGUUGUUUUUUUCAUCAUGAGCAAGUACUUUUGUAAUUCAAGAACUAAGAGCGAUCUUUAAAGAUGGGAGAGUUUAUUUAUUAAUGUAAUACUUAUACGGAUGUACUUAUUAUUAUUAUCAUUUUAUUCCAAUCAGAUUGAACGGAGGGAGUAGUCUAUGAUUGAUUUUGGAGAUCCUAAAAUAAUAAAUUGAUGAUUUUUUUAAAUAAAAAUAUAUAUAUAUAGCAGUAGUAAUUAAAGUUUACGAAAACUUGCAUAAUUUGCAAGAGAUGUUAUACAAAUAAAUAUGUAAGAUUAUAUGGAAUGAAUUAAAUCUUAAUAUUAUAAGUAAUUAUAUUUUAUAGUCGUACCAAAUAGAAGUGCUCAUAUUUUUAUAAAUGUACUUACAUUUAGUAUUAUUAAUUUGUGUAAUUAGUUCGGACGGAAGGAACUUAAAGAGUUAUAUUUGGAAUAUAAAUUUUGGAGUAUUAAUAAUUGAUAUAAGACGAUGAUUAAAGGCAUAUUAAAUAGAUUAUGAAUUAUUUUGGAAUUAUUGAAUUGGAUUAUAUUUAAUUUGAGGUGAAUAUGUUUAGGUGAUGAAUAACGUUUCGUAUUUGAUAUCGUUGGCAUUUGAGGGUAAGAGUUUGUGGAGUGUGCUAUAAAUGGUUUGGAAGUAUCAGGUACGGAUUCCGUACGCUUUCAGCGAUACCUUUGUUAAAUUUGAUUUGUUUGUUUGUUUCCUUAUUUCGAAUUCUAUUAUGAUUUCACAUAAUUGUUUCGUGUGAAAUAAAUAUAUUAGUUUCAUUUUAGAGUUGAUACGUAUGACUCGUAUUUGUACUCUUUGAAUUAGGUUAUCAUGUUUAGUAUUAUUUAUUUUGAUAAUUGUAGAGCGGUACAUGUUGCUACCUUCCUUUUGAAACCUUGUGACUAUAAUUUGAUUCGGUUCAACAUGUACAUAUAGAACCCUUUUGUUGGUAUUAUGUCGCAUGUGUUGUGACAUGAUAUUUUUGUUAGAAUAUACCGUAGAGUAUACCUGAGUUAUAACCACCUGUGGGGGUACCACAGACACGUCGUCUUGGCACGAGAGACGUGACACUUUCCGUGGCGGUGUGAUUAGUCCACGGCGUCUCCAUUUUGGGCUUCGGAGGAAGUGGGCCAUUUGGUGUUUUUUUGUGGGAGACGUAUGGGUUAACCCUAGUUUUUUUUGUUCUGCGGAUUUGUGAUGUUGUGCCAAACACACCUAUCCGAUUUGCAUACAUUUGGAUUCGCGGUCCAAUGUGUGAUUUGCCUGUGUGGCAUUAUUUUGGUUGCCUGUGUGGCAUUAUUUUGACUUGCCUGUGUGGCAAUGUGUAUUUCUGAGCUCAUUCGGUAUAAAAUAACUCCAGCCAUUUGUUUCAGCCUAUUAUUUUAUUGGAUUAGUUUUGUUGGUUUCUGUUCAGUUCAAGUCAUUGAGUUAGUUACUUCAGUUCGUUAUUUCUUUAUUCUUUUAUUGGUUUCGUCAAUUACGUUGAUUCAGAUAUAUUCAUUACGUUGAUUCAGAUAUAUUCCAUUCAAAUCUUUGGAUAUUAUAUUUUCGUUCGUAUUUGCACUUGAGGCUUUGUUCAGUAUUUUGUCUCAGUUAUUUUCGUAUAUCAGUUGUAUAUCUUUUGUAUAUCUGUAUCCGUACUGGGCAAUUGGCUCAUGCUGUGUUUUUCUUCCGGCAGGUUUGCAGGGGUGAUUCAGGGCUAGUGUGAUGAGAUUUUUGCCUUUGACCAUUUAGGUUGAUUCGAAUUUUAAGUUUUGAUUAUUUUGACUCAGUUUGGAGAAUUGUACUUAUUACUUUAUUAAUGAAUCACCACUAUUAAUAUUUUGAGGUUGUUAGUGCUCUGUUUAUUUAUUUUGAGGUUUGUUGUGCUUUGCACGUAAUCUCCCUUUCCUUUUCAGGAAGGGGGUGUUACAGAGAUGGUAUCAGAGCCGACUCUUGAAAGCCCGGGUCGGGUUAUCCGAUCGGGUUGCCGGAGGUGGGGACACGAAGGCUGGUGGUAUUAUCCCACAAUGGAGAGAUGGAGGUCCGGAGGUGGGGACACGAAGCCAGCCGGUAUUAUCCCGCAAUGGCUAGAGAGGCAAAGAUCUUUGGACUGUGUGUGUGAUCGGUUCUGACGGGGACGUCAGAAAUUUAGGUACCUUCAAGUCAUGACCUUUUGGGUGAGCCUGUGGUGGGCUAAGUUGACCCAAGAAGAUACUAUUGGGCCAGUAGUUUGAGGCCUUAUUUUGAUGGAUUUGAUUCGAUUCGGACUUGAGAAUUGACCCAAGAUUUGUUCCGAACUCGGGAUUUGACCCGAGUUGUUACAAUGAGAAAGCAUGUUCAAGCUCAAAAGAUCAACUUAUGAGUAAAUAAAGCCAGAGGUUAGUAAUAAAUUGGUAAACUAGUUCACAUUUCCGUAACUGAAGUUGAUUUUUUUUUAAUUAUUAUUCCAAUAACCACAACACAAAUAGCAUAAACCUAAUUAUCUGUUUUUCAUCUUUGAUAGGUAUUUUUGGCCCCAAGUCCGGGGAUUGGAACAUAAGCCUUUAAGUUUAAAAUUUUUGCAUCUAUAAUCUCCUCAAAUUUCUUAGUGCCAAAACUUAAAAGGGUAAAAGAUUGAACUUUACAAUUUAGAAACCUGGCACGAACAGAUUGGAGCUUCAUAUGCAUUUUUACACAACUCACAACAUUCCCAGCACAGAAUUAAAUAAUAGAAAUUAUACCUAAUAGGGGGCUCCCUUCUGAUGCAGGCUGAACUUCGGCAAUUUCUGACCCAGGGUUAGAAUUCCUAAUCACACAGACCUUGGUUCUACGAAACUUUACCCUCUGCAAGGCAGAAAUUUUUAUAAAAUCCAUACUUUUAGUAAACCCUAAGCCAUGAUCCUUGCUCUUCAGACCAGUAAAUGAUGUUGGAACGGCUCCAGUUGCCAUUUUCACAACCACAAAGAAUCAAUAUUCACAGUCCUGUAACACACAAACCAAGCUCAAUUAAUCUAAUUUCUAACAUAACUAUACCUACAUAUAUAUAUAUAUAGGUGCUAACUAUAUUUUGGGGGUAUUCCAAAAUUCCUUUCAUAAUAAUCCUCCGUUUGGCAGCUGACAGGCUAAAGGAAGAAGUUACUUUGAGCAUCAUAAGGCCUGUUCGGCCAAGCUGUCCCGUAAGAUUAAGAACUUUCACUAGUAGAUACUCCAUAUUAGAGAAAGUGCUUUCGUUUAAAAAUGAAAAAAGUUUUUGGCAAAUAAAGUUUCCUUUCAAAAAAAAUAUGAAAAAUAAUUUGGUAUGUGUAAUGCACUAAAUUUAGCUCUCCCAAAAGUAUUUUUACACCAAAAACUAUACUUUGUUCUGUCACCAAACACUCUCGAACCUAAUUUUCUUUACUAAAAAUGUUUUUACCCACCUCACCACACUUCAAAGUUCAAACCAAACACUUAUUUUAUCUUCUUCCGUCAAAUUGAUGAAGUCCUCUUCUCUAGCGAACUUUAAACCGCUAACUAAAAAUAAAUCGGCUAUAGCGACGAUUUUUUCCGUGGUUAUAGCAUACAAAACAGAUAUAGCUAUAGCUCCGUUCAUUUUUGGUUCCCAAAAAAAAUCGUGUAUAUAUAUAUAUAUAUAUAUAUAUAUAUAUAUAUAUAUAUAUAUAAAGUUUGAAACAAACAAGAACACAUUAAUCUGCAUUACCAAAAUUCAUUUCUAGAUUGAGUCUCUGCCUGACAGAUUUAAUACCUAUUACAGUACGAAUUAUGAAACUAUCAAAUCAAAAUACAAAAUUCAGUUAACUGAUCAGAAACGACAGGCUUAAAUUAUUAAAAACACUAAAAAGUCAAACCUCAUAUCUAUCUGCAACAAAAAUAUAAAAACUGCUUUCAAAUUGACAAAAUUAGUUGACGGAAUGAAAAAUUCCUGAACGCAAACUAGGAUUGAGCGAUAAAAUGCACAUACCGUUGGCUGUUUUCUUCUGUAGCUCGAGCAAUUGAGUUGUAUUCUAGAGAGAAAGUUGUGGUGGAUGGAGAUCGAAAGACCUGCGUUUGCAAAUUAUAAUCAGCAAAAAAAAAUGAGUUACGCUUGAAUGAAUUGAAAAAAGAAGACAAAUAAGGGACCAUGAGCAUCUAUUGUUUUAGCAGCGAGUGGCCACACGAUAUAUGCAGUCUACACUCUACAGGUUGGGGAGUGAGGGAGGGAGGGAGAUUAUUUAUUUAUUUAUUUAUACCCCUAUAUUUUUGUGAUAGUUUUAAAUGUGGCGGUCAAAUUAUUCAGUAUUUGGCUGAAUUAGACCAAAAUUCACACGUGGACCCUCUAGGCCUCUACUAAUUAAUAGCGGGUUUAGAUUUAUUUUCAUAAAUGAAAAUGAUAAUAUUCCAAUAUAGUUUUAUAAUUACUGACUUUUAAGAGAGAGAUAAAAUAUUUAAAUGAAUAUUUAACAUUUGUUAAAAAUGUAAUAACGAAAUUCAUGUCGCUUUAUUGUUCAGAAUUAUCAAUGUAUUUUUAAUUUUAUAAUUAAUUAAGAAAUAUAUAAAUAUCUAAUUUUGAAACGGAUAAAAUAAGAGAAGAUUUGCAUGAAUAUAUAUAUAUAUUAGUAUUUGUGAAGAUAUAACUUCCCUAAUCAAAUGCUAAUCCAUAAACACAAUUAGUUUAAUUACAUUUCAAAAUUAUUGUCCAUUAUAAUUUAUAACUCUGUUUUUUUAUUUUUUUUUUAUUAUCCCACCAAAUAUAAUUAGAUCACAUUUAAUGAAUAUCUCCAAAUAAGAAUAGAUUGCAUUAGACCAAUAAGCUUAUAAUAAUUAUUUUCUCAAAUUCCUUAUCAAAUACAAAUACAUUGCAUUCAUUUGAUUACCUUAAUAGAGUUUAACAUUGGAUAUAUAUAUAUAUAUAUAUAUAUAUAUAUAUAUAUAUAUAUAUAUAUAUAUAUAUAUAUAUAUAACACAGUUGUUUAUGACGAAUAUUUUUUGGACUAUAACGACGGUUCACUCGUCGCCAUAUACCAGAAUAACUAUAGCGAACGACUAUGUACUACACGGCUGUGUACAUACAUUUUUCUCAUAUCUCAAACAUUUAUAUACAUUGAAAGAUAUUACUAAUAUUGAAUGCAACUAAUUAAUAUUAUUAAGAAAAUAAAUAUACAUACUGAAAUAAUAAAACCUCUCUUCUCAAAGAAUAUAUUGAAUGCAACUAAUUAAUAUUAUUAAUUCUAGCUAUAACCCUUGUUCUUUCUUUGAUUAACAUUUUACGCCUUAUAUUGAAAUGAAUAUAAUGUUUUUUAUUUUUUUCAAAAAAAAUGAUAAAUGGUAAUAUUAUUUCAAAACAAAGAAUAAGCUGAUGACAAAGCUUCAAGGCAUUUAAAUUAUUAGCAGCUAAUAGUCAAAAAGCUACUAAUAAUUCCUUAUAGUCAAAAAAUUACUAAGGAGGGGGACUAAGUGAGAAAAGUAGUACUCAUUGGUAACCAUGAUGAUAAUUGAUAAUACAUGAAUUGUUUCCCUAAAGAAAAAUAUUAUGCUACUACAUAAUUGAAGAUUUAGGGGGUGUUUAUUUAGAGCUGAAUAGAGUUGAAUUUGAAUGGCUGAAUCGGUCAGUGCGUUUGUUUUAGUCUGAAUGGCUGAAUUGAUAAGACAAACGAACUGAAUGGCUAAGUCAAUUUUUUUUAACUGAAUGGUUGAAUGAGCAGCUGAAUGAAGUAAAAAAAUUUAAAAAAUUAAAAAAUUGAAAAAAAAAUUAACUAUUAUAUUAAGUAAUAUUAAAUAAAUUUACAACAAUUUUGAAUUUUUUUAGAGGGGAUAAAAUAAUAAAGUUUUAUCAUUCAGAUGUUUCUGACAUGUCCAUUAUCAAACAGUUUUUUUUCAUUCAGAUUCAGAUUCAGCUCAUUCAGAUUUAGAUUUAUUCAGUUUUUAUCAAACACCCCCUUACUCAUCAUUUCGACAUAUAUGUCUGUUAAAUUUAAAUUUUGUUUGACACCAAACAUGGCGUAAUUGCAUUUUUUUCGUGUCCAAAAAUAAAACAAAAUGAAAAGGGAAAUUUCCCCAAAAUUCAUAAUAAUAUUAAUUUGAACUUAGAAAAUGGGCCUUUCACCAAUUUAGCUGGUAGACACAUUCUCAUAUUCGAUUUAAGCGAAGGAUGUUUGGUGAAUACAUCGAGAACUUCAAUUUGCAACGCUCCAAUGUCAGUCAGGCUUGACUACUCUACGAUUAGGUUAUUCUCAACGAGCUUUGCUUGAAUUUACGAUUCUCGUGUCCACUUUACGAACUGAAGUAUGUGUUUACGAUUUGUAAUGAACUUUACGAUAGCUGCAAAUAGCUCUGCGACUCAUAUGAUGUAUUGCGAUCAUGCGCUUACUCUACGAUCCAUCUUCUCAUUACAAAAUAGCAUAGUAGCUUUACAAACAUUGUAAACCCUAUCAACUAUACAUCUGAUUAGCUAUAAGAAGAUCAACCUAACAUUAUUUGAUAUUUUUAAUCUAAAUACAUGUACAUUGACUCAAAUCAUUAAUAAGGACUUUACAAAACAUACCAGUACAAAUAUAAAUUAAACACAUUUAUCAUCAAAUUUAAAUAUGCAAUCUCUAAUAAAAGACUUUAGUAAAUCUUUUGUAGUUUGUAUGUUACUCUUUAUAUACAAACAUAAGAACAUUUAAUAUAGGAAUAAAGUGAUAAUCUAUAUUUAAAAGUAAAAAAAUUUCAUGUACAAACAUAAAAAACACAAAAGAAGACAUAAUUUUUUUUUCUUAUAUUUUUUUUUUUGUAUUCAAAAUUCAAAAACAUAAUGAAAAGUUCCUCUUUUAUCUUAUUAAUCCAAUUUUUUUUAUCUAAGUCUAUAUAUAUAUAUAUAUAUAUAUAUAUAUAUAUAUAUAUAUAUAUAUAUAUUACCCCUAAAAAUUUAUUUUUCAAAAAUUUAGUAUAGACAAUUGCUUACAAUGGCCGUAUAGUAGAUUCGCCUUGGAGCCGGGGAUUAAUAUUUUGUGAAUUUUUAAAAUAACAAUUAAUUUUAGUUAUAUUUAUAAUAAUAGUUACAAAUUAUUCAUAUUCUAGGAUAAAAGUAGGAAAAUUAUAUAUAUUUAUAUUAUGUAAGUAUAAAUAAUAAUUUAAUUAGUAUAUAAUUAUUUGGGGAAUUAGGAUGAGUCCUCCCUAUUUUUAUAAAUAAUAUUGGAUAAUUCUCUGACCCUUUUCUCGAUCAGAAUCAAAAUUAUCGUGUCAGUUGUGAGAAUCACCGUAAAAAUUACACAAAUUGUCAUCCCUUAAGUGCACCCGCUGAUAUGAUAUGGGUCUGUCUUGGUCUGUUUUCUGGGACAUGAAAUGUAGUAGCGACCACAAAAAAAGAAAAAGAAAAGAGUAAUUGGUAUUUCCCUCGUGAAACACGUGCCAUUCACAAUAAAAGCUGCCCAAGACUUAUCUCAACGUUUAUCACGUUAUUCAUAUUUCAUUCUCCCUUUACAAGUUUUCAUUGAUGAAACUGAAAUUAUGGGCCGCCUAAUUUUUAUUUAAAUAACAUAUUUUCAAAAAUAUAUAAUUAAACUUUUAAAGCUAUAUUUUCAAUUUUCAUUUUUACCUCUCCAAUAAAAUAAAAUUUGAGUUACAAUUGUAAGUAUCGUGUUUAAUGUGUUUAGUGUUGUCAACCGCCAAAAAAUAAGAAUGCUUAUUCGGUUUCACAUCUCCCUUUGUUCCACAAAUAGUCCCCAUUCGACUUUAAUACCGAUUGAUUUGUCAAAUUUUAAAUUUAAAUUUAAAGACCGUUUCAAAAUAUAAGUUUAUUAUUCAUUUUUUAAAAUUAAUUAAAAAUAUUUUCAAACUCAAAAUUGAACAAAUUCCUUUAAUAUGUUAAUACAACGAUAAAUAUUAUAAUUUUUUUGUAAGAUUUACUUUUUCAUUAUCUUCAAUAAAUCAUCUCAAUUUUAAAUUCAAAAAUAUAUUAAAUUAACUUUCAAAAGUCAAUAAUCAUCCUAGAAUUUAAAACUAUAUGGAAUAUCAAAUAUCACUCUUUCCAUGGAAUGAACUAUGGAGGGAGUAGAAUUUUUGAGAAAAAAACAAUACAUAUAGCUUCAGGAGCAGCAGAAAUAUGUCCACAAUACUGAUGGUGGACAUUUAAACUACAAUCUAACAGUCAAAAUUUCAACAAGUGGCCAGAGUGCCGUAUCCCACCAUUAGUGGACCAAAAUUAAUAGCAAGAGUUGAUUCAUGACAUUGCCUGCAGCUGAACUAAAGAGAGGUUCCAAACUAAUACAUCAAACAAAUCUGACCCAGUAUUGGUUUCUGUUUAAAGCAAAAAUCAUGCACGGGAAAGACAAGGCAGAGUUGUUCAUGAGAUAUAUCUAUGCUGCUGCUCCUGAAGAAGUCUUGCCGAAGACUUGGCAUCUAGAUAAAGACUAGUCACUUCCUCGAGAUCGGCCUGUUAAGUGUACAAACACAAACAACAUAGGCAUGUUAGGAAAAACAUGAUUAUAUGUGAAGGAUGAUAGGUCAUGCUAACAAGUACCGAUCUAGAUGGAUGUGUAGUUUCACUACCUUGCAAAUACAGUCUCGGCCAUUCAUUUUUGCUACAAUGCUGGCAGGUGACAUCAACUGAACAGCAUGCCUGCGUAAUCACAAUAAAUAUUGGUCAAGUAAUACUAUAAUUGAGAGCAACGAUAUCAUCCAUAACAGACUAGAUGGAUGAAGCGAACCUUAAGGACACUUGUUGUCCAAUUGCCCCGAGGUAAGCCAAGCUUUCUUCAUCUACAACCAGUUCCUCUACCUGAGCUCGGAUGGCAAGAAUCUGCCAAGCAUCAAGGAAUACAUUAAUUUAGAGGCAGAUGUUUCAUUGACAAAUACUGUGAUGUUGAAACAGGUCAUACACAUCAAAACAUUGAAGAAAGAGCUUUAACCUUUAUCAUCUCAGCUAUAUCAUAAUUUAGUGUCCGUAUAAUCACUAAUCGGUCUAACAAGUCAACUGGUAUGCCAUGAGGGCUACUCAUAUCAGUUCCUCUGCGAAAACAAAUUUGUGUAAAUAAUUAAGACAUGAUACUAAUUAAAGUGUCAAAUGUACGCGCAGACAGGAUAGUUUAAAAGUUUGAGCACAGUAAAGGACUUGUUAGAGUAUGGCCUAUUAGUCAUGCCCUCAAAAGAAAACAUUAAACUGCAUGGAAAUGAUCCCAAAAAUCGCCAACCCAAGCCCAGUGCACACAGAUGAGCAACCCUUCUCCCUCCCACACACGCUCUAAAUAAAUCCAGAGGAAAUUUAAUUUUCUUUGUGCUUUUCACAUUAGAAGCCAUUGCUAGGUGCAGUACAUUGCUUCUGGUAGAAGUGAAUCACACGUAAGUUCAAGACUCGAGGCAGUCAAUUAGCACCAAAAAAAGCUGAAGAUUUAAUCCAAAUCCACCCUACAUGUUUUAUUUCACAGUAAGUUAGAUUAUGACUAUAUUACACUAUCGUGUAUCUAUGACAUUCUACUAUACAAGUUUCUGGCUGGGACCGCUAAAAUUGAGAACUAAAACAUAGUCUGACACAGCCAGAUGCAAAGUGAUCACUGAUUAACCAUCAGACUUUCUUACAAAUUUGAACACACUCUCAUUACCUAAAAACGUCUUUGGUAAGUUCCAUAAAAUACUCAUUACACAGUUUUAGCCUUCAAGUUAAUAGCUUCUUAUUUUUAGGCCUAACAUUUUAAGAGCAUAGCCUAAAUUUAAUGGCUUACCAUUUAACAACAAGAAAGAGCAUAAACUCCAUAGUUCCUAGUCAUCCUAUGUCAAAGCAGGCUUCAGUCAAAAAUAUAGGUCGAAACAGGAAUGCAUGCCAAACAAAUUUAGUGGAUACAGAUUUUUGUGUUGUUAAAAUAUUAGAUACUAUUCUUCAGUGCCAGUACUUAUCAUGCUUGAGCAUAAAAUAUUUUUCUUCCCUUCUGUGCAUUUUUGGAUGCAAUCAGUUUCAGGAUUUAAUGAUGCAAACUUAUACUAACAAUCGACUCAAAUAUUAUUUAGAAAAAGUAUCUGCAAAAUAACAACUUCCAAAUACUAAGCAAAGUUCUUCCUCGCCCUAUUCCCAGUUUGUGUAAAUUAGCAUAAAUAAAGCUUCAUACCUCACAUUACAUAUUCCUCUAUUGGUGGCAAAUAUUACUAUCGGAGAUAGUGAGCUCUCUAAAGCACGGUUUAGGUAUGAAAAGCACUCCAUAUCCAGCAUAUGUACCUGCGAAAAGGAUAUGUAAAUCACAAAAACAUAGAACGAUCUGCACAUAUAUUAGGCAUGAAUAAUAGCAGAGAAUUACUUCAUCAAUAAAUAGGACUCCUGGGACAAGCUCUGCCACACCUUCGUCAAUAUAACGGUUAACAACCUGUAAUUGAUAAACUUCAUAGUUAAAUAACACAACAUUAUCUCCUGAGCCCUUCAAUCUAUGGAAUACUGCAGGUAUAAAGAGGACGAAGAAGAGGUGGGAGGAAUUCAUAAGCUAUCCUAGACCAUCAUGUCCUAAUAAGUAGGAAUUAGGUAUACAGUUAUCAUUAGAUUACCAUAAUGAUUCAGUAAUAACUAAAACUACUAGACUUGGGUACAAAUGAAUUAGGUUUUGUGGGAAAGAUUAAACAACUUAGUCAAAGGAUUAAUCUGCUCUCAACCCUAGGUCACAUAAAGUCCAGAUAAAUCGAAAAGCCUAAGUUGACAUCUCCAUAAAUUCAUAGAAUAAUACCUUAUUUAUUUCUUGUCGUAACUUGUCUGUAAUUUCAGUUUUCCUAGGCUUCAUCAUUUGACCCAUAAGGGACAAUAUAUCUUGUCCACCUUGAGGCCGUGCAUUUGCAGCAUCCAGAUCAUGUAGUGUAACAUCCUGACAAGGCAAAAAAGAGAUGCAUUAUAACCACAGAAUCCCUAUAGAUAUUCAAGAACCUCAUUUCCACCACCACUGAGAAUGAAUCUUUCUUAAAAUGAAAAGGGGGAUAAGGAAAAGAAACUUCAUUCUAAUAACACCAAAACGGCGGUAACAUGUUAAAGGCUUUAGAACACAUUGGAUUUGAGAAGUUUCCAACAAAAUUAUGAGAUAAAUUACACAACAUUUAAUAUUUUAUGCACGAUAUACAAAAGAGAAAGACUAAGGUGUUGUUUAUUUUGACUAAGGGGGUGUUUGUUUAGAGCUGAAUGACUGAAUCGGUCAGUCAUUGUUUGUUUUGAAUAAAAAUCGUUUGAAUGACUGAAUUGGUCAAAUUUUUAGGCUGAAUGCCCAAGUGUAAUUUUUUUUUGUUGAAUGAUCGUUGAAUGAAGUAUUUUAUAUUAAUUUUUUUUUUCAAUAUUAACUAUUAUAUUAAGUAAUAUUAAAUAAAUUGACAACAAUUUUGAAUUUUUUUUAGAGGGCUUAAAUAAUAAAAAAUUAUUAUUAAGAUGUUUCAGACAUGUCAAUUAUCAAACAAAAAUUUUCAUUCAGUUUUCAGAAUUUUGCUUCAUUCAGCUUAUUCGGAUUACUUAAACAUUCAGAACUAUUUCAUUCAAUUUUAUCAAACAUCCCCCAAGUGAUAAGGUCUGAAUACUGAAUACAAGUCUAAAACAAGAAGUAACAUCUGGAUGUUAAAUGAACAACAAAAUAGCUAAAAUUAAUUUACAUUAAAAAUGAAAAAAUAAAGGAGCGAAAUCAUAGUUUUGAUAAAUAUAAACAAUGACUCAACUUUUGAAAUCUUAAAAAUGUAAAAAGUCGUCCAUCUUGUAUGGCCCAACACCUUUCAAAUACAUAAUCUCAUUACCAAUGUUUUAAAAGGCGUUAGGCGAUAGGCGGGCGGCCAGGGGGGCCGAGCGCCUAGGGACACAACGCUAAUUAGUUGUGUUAUAAUAAUGUAAGAUAAAAUAUUAAAAUUGUCAACGCUAAAAAAUUAGGUAACACUAAUUAAAAUAAACAUACCUCAAUUGAUUAUCUCACAACAUUAAAGUAAAUUAAAGACUAUUACCAUCAGAUUAUGAACACUUGGUAUAUACACGCACACUCAUAAAUAUAUAUUCUGUGCUAGUGUAUAGAACCAUACAGCAUAAACCAUAUCCCAAAAUACAUAGAAACAUACCUGAACUAUCUCCUUCUUUUUAUGAACCUCUCCUUUAGGAAGUGGAACAUACUCUUCUGCCUCAAGAUCAAAUUCUGUAGCAAAUGCAUCACUUCUUCCUACCCUUUUGACUGCACCACUAUUUGCUUCAAUGUAUAUGACAUCACCGGUAGCUACCUGCAGUUUGUCUCGUAAGAACCAUUAGAUGUUAUCAAAGACAAGAGCCAAUCAUGGAUCUUCAAUCCAAAGUACGACACUAUUCAAAGAUAUUAAAAAUAUUUUUUAUAUAUUGGGGGAUGCAAGACCCUCAAAUCAGUUCAAAAACAAUACAGAGUAUUAUAAGAUGAAAAGCAAUGGAAUCAAAUAUAAUUUAGUUUUAAGCAGGAAACCCAACAUACAAUGACCUUACCUUUUCCUUAAUCAAGGCAUCAUAAAUAGUCGGAUCUAGCUUCAGUUGCUUGGUUCCUUUGACAGUUUUUAACCCAAUAAUUACGUGACUAAUGCUUUUACCAUAUCCACCAGUGACGCUCUCCAUUUCCUCUGGUGAGAGUUCAGUCACCUAAAACAAAAGUAGCAGAAUAACACAUCAAAAAUUGACAGCAAACAGAAAAGACAGAUUAUAUGCAUAUAAACAGCAUUACUAGGCAAAUUAAACACUAAUAGAAAAAUAAAAAUCAAGACAAUGUACUUGCCUCUCCUUCAUAAACCUCCUUAUUUUCUUUGAUACGUAGACCAAUAGCCCGUCUGAAAUUUUCCAUCAAAACCUCAGUUUUCUUUACUUCUGAUGAAUAUACUUCUGAUCCAACCAUUGGACAGAAUGGAACCUAAAAGUAAACAGGGAAAAAAGUUUAAUUAAAACAAGAUAAAUUAUAAAGUUUUAAUAUAAAGAUCAAGAAUCAAAACCAGAUAUUAAACUAAUUGUUCCCUCAACAACACAAUUAAAUGAGCUGAAAAAUAUUGCAAAAACAAAAUGAACAUCACCACCAGUUACCACCUGCAUAAAACAGCUAGAUAAAUAUGUGAGGAGAUGUACCUUACUUCCAAGCUCCUGGGAUACACCAAGGGCAAGUGCUGUCUUGCCAGAACCAGGAGGUCCAGCAAGUAGAAGAGCCCGGCCAGCCAUCUUCUUUUGGCGUAUCAUAUCAACAACAAGGCCUGAAGCUUCUCUUGCUGCAGCCUGACCAACAAAGCCAGCAGCCAAAGGUAUUGCAUUUCCAUUCGGCUACAAAAGAAUCAUAAUAAAAAGUAAAAAACUUCUAACCUUCAAUCAGCUAAAUAAAAACUUAUAAAGAGAACCCAGUUGACAAUUUCAUAACUAGCAGAGAAAUUUUUAACAUUCAAUCAAUUAAAUACAAUACUAUCACAAUCCCACCUCUGAAUAAUCACUAGGGUUUCACUAAUAAAGCUUAAAUACAGCAAAACUCAUGUACAAAAAGUACAAAACCCUAAAUCCCUAGUAGGACAUAAAUCCAAAAUCCUUAACCGGUUAAAACCCUAUCGAAUAUAAAAUUAACAAUAACACAAAAUUAUUCAGAAUAUGAAUGAAUCAGUAUAGAAUUAAGUGAAAGAUGCUGAGGAGCAAAAAAGAAGAGUGAUACAUAUAUAUACAUGUGUAUAUACGUACCUCAAGGCCAAGACCUUUGAUGUGAGUAUGGGUAGCAACCCUUUGCUUCUUUGUUGUGGAUUGUACUUCUUCUAUCUUCAUUUGCUCUCUCUACUAUUUUCUCUCUCUUCUGUCUGCUUCGUUUCUAUGGUUUAACAGUCGAAGGUCACUCUAGUUCUACACAAUUUCUAAAGACGAAAAUGGAGUUAUAUGGGUGGCCGGGUUUAUAAAUAGUUCAGGUUAAAUCAGAAUCAAAUAGGCCCAAGAUUGUAGAUGUAAACUGAACCUCCUACUUCUGUUUCCAGUAAUCCUAUUGGCCCAAUAGCAUUUCCCUUUUAUUGUAAUGUGCAUUUUAUUAUUAAUUUUUAAAAUAAUAUUAUUAAUGUUUCUAAGUUCUCUGUUUCAAAUUAUCAAUAUUGAUUUUUUAAAAAUUAAUUUCAGAUAUUUUUAAUUUUUAAUUUUAAAAUUGGCAUAAUUUAUUAUUUUUUGAAAAUAACAAAUCACUAACAAACUCACCAACUUGUCCUUCGCUCGUGGUGGUAUGAAUAAUGGUUUUAUUAUGUUAUUUUUUUAUGAUGACCAGUUAAAUGUAGGAUAGAUGCUUAAUUACAAUUAUAAGAAGAUAGUUGGAAAUUUUAAAUUAUUACAUAUUAAUUUGAAUAAUAAAUUAUUGAAUAAUAUCUUAGAGGUUUCUUUGGUCAAAUAUUAAGCUAAACAUUUAAAUGUUGUAUAAAUUUAUUUAGUUAUGAUUAUGAGAAAAUAAUUAUUUUAAUUUUAUUUAAGUUUGUAAUGAAAUUAUAGUUAUAUUAGUGUUUAUAUUGACAAAUUUUGAUUGAAAUUCUAAUUCAAAUUAGAACAAUGAAAGUCAAGUUUUAAUCAAUUUUAAUUUAAUUAUGACAAUUAGUUAAUAACGAAUACACUAUUAUUAUGUUUCAAAAUAAAAUUUUAAGCUUUAAUGAACUUCAUUUAUUUAGUAAUAAAAUUUAUGACUAAUAUUAAAAUAAAAAGGCUGACACACAGAGACAUUAGCUCCCCGCCUGCAUGUCAACACUAUAUUCAUGUCAGUUUUGAAUUUAAAAAUAUUCCACAUUAGUAAAAGGAAACAAACGGAAUGGCAGAAUGAACACCUAAGUUCAACCACCUACAUUGGUGAAUAAAUAACAUUGCUAUCCAUUUGUGCCAAAGGGAAAAAAACUCCCGGUCUCAGCUUAAAAUGCAUUGUUGCCUCCACAGUAAGGAAAAAGUUCACCGGAAAUGAAAUACUACCAAUUUAUCAUAUCCAGUUUAUCCCCGAAAAGAAAGCUUGGGGCAGAUUCAAGCUACUCACAAUGUGUUGAGAGAAUAAAUAUCAUCAACCUACCGAAAGUCUCACAUUCUUAACAGUGGCAGUUUCUCAAAGCAUAACUCAAGUUGAUAUGGUCAAGUAACAGUUCCAUCUUCUAAAAGAGAGUGUCUCUCGAGGACUGCGAUAGUCUCUUCUUUGGCACUGCCAAUACAAAAGAAAGUUGAUCAAAUUUUUUGUCUGGCAUGUUAAUACACAAUUGAGGUAAAAAAUUCUUGAGCAGUCAUUAAGGUACUUGUCAUUCCUUAAUCCUUACAUAACCAUAGCAAAUUGGAAAAAGGAAUAAUGUAUGGAGGAAGCAACUUUCUGCAACCAUAAUCAAUAAUUUGAAAAGAAUAUACUUUUCUAAAAGGACAAGAUUGAACUCAGGCUAGUUCUCAACAAGAGAUCUCGAUUAAGUAAAAUACGGGGAAUCCAGCAGCAGAACAAGCACGGUUCAUUUCCACUGGAUUGAUAACCCUAGAAAUUUUGGAUUGUCCCACAGUUUGACUGCUUGUGGCAAAAAAUAAAUAAGAAAAAACCAUUGACAAUCACUUCAAGUUGUAGUUUAGGAUAGACUUCAGCAGAUUUAAUUAUAAUAAUUUUAUACUCCUAGAUAAUAAAAUCAAGAAUUGUUUUUCAUGCUGAUCAAGUCCAUGCAUCUAGGAUGCUUAUUCUAAUUUUCUUAUCUAUUUCUUAUGCAUUCAAUAUGAUAGUUUUUACUCAAAUCUUACAAACAGCAUCCAACCCACCAGGAAUAUUAGAUGCUUACCUUCCAGGUCUCAGAAUCUUGUACUUUCCUAUGCUUGUAAGGUCUACAACUGUUGAACCUGCACGCCCAGAUGGAAGAACGCCACCAUCAUACACGUAUGCACAGUGUUCCCAGAGGUCAGCAAAGUCUUUGAUGUCUACACUACUUGGCUUCCCACUGAGGUUUGCACUUGUCAGGGCCAGUGCACUUCCCGAACCACGGGUAAUGACCCUGAUAAAGUUACAAUCAGGCACUCGAACUCCUAUGCUAUUUAAUCCAGGGUUUAACGAUUUCUCCAGAAUGCUUGAAUCUCCUGCAAAAUAUUCAAAUUCAAAUGUCAGAUCUCAAUGUGGUAUUAUAUGACACAGUGAGACAUUUACUGCAAAUUAACUAGAUGCUAGCAAUAUGGUCUUAAACUACAUGAGCAGCUGUCUCUAUAAAGGCUCAGGCGGAGUGUCUUCUUCUUAAAAACUGAUUUUAUAUCAAUUUAGGCAAUGGACUUGAAAAAGUUAGAUACUUCACAGAAAAAUGCAAUCUAGCUAGUAGCUCCCCUUUCUAAAAUGUAUUACCAUUAUUGAACAUGAAUGUUCACAGUUAACUUAGAUUCCUAAAAACGAUUACGUACUUUGUUUACCCCUUCUUAACAAUUCAUAAAGAAAAUAAAGGUUUUAGCAACAAACCUCGCCUUAACACCACAGUUACAGGUCCUGGAAGGAGAUAAUCAAGUAAGCCAUGAGGCAAAUGAUUCGUGACUGCAAACUUCUCUAUGUCCCACACAUCCCCAACACAAAUUGCAAGAGGACUCGUAUAUUUCCGUCCUUUAAUCUCAUAAAUCCUAUUAACUGCUUCAAGAGAGCUGCAACAUGGCUCACAGAAACAUAAACACGAGUUUAUAAUAUUUGAAGGACAAGAGUACAUGGAGAAUUAAGGCUGGCCUAAGAACUUCCACAUAAAUUGUGUAGAACAUAAUGACGAGGGUUUUAGUCAAGUAAGAGGAAGUGAGGGUCAUGAAUUUUAUAUACUUAUUUUUCUCCAUGUCCAAUCUUUAUACCACAAAAAUUUACUAAGUAGGCUCUUUCAUAAAUACUGAGAUGAGAGACUCAAACUGUUUUCUCAGGGCAAGGAAGAUCUGUAGUGGGAUUCAAGUAACGGAAUAAACAAUAAAAUCACAUAAUAGGAAAAUUGUAAAUCUGAAAGAAACAUUCAUUGAAUCACGUAACUUACAUUCAUUUGUUUAAUCAUGAACAAGGCCAAAAGAAUGUAAAAUUUAUCGUGUGGGUUUCAGAUGAUCACAUUUGAAGGAGAAUGACGAUUUUCAUGCGUACUUCUGAAUUGCAGCAAUGAGAAUUGAUCGGGCACUUAAAUUAGUUGUGCAUAUACAUCAAAAUCUUCCAAAAGUUAUAGUAUUGUCAUGGACUGGUAGAGGUAGAGUAUUUCUAUGUAAACUGUUGAGACUUUUUUGAGUUCUCAACAAAUAUAUUCCAGAAAUUUUGCACCCUUGUUAUAGAAAGUAAAAAAAAUUAAAUUGUAUUUCUUGUAGCCGUAAAGCCACCCUUGCCAUUGGUAUGUUUCGUGGACGCAAUAGCUUUUUCCACAUUUCAGAAGAAUAUUAAUGCACUCGCCACUCUAUCAAGAUAAUUUUACUUGCUUUUAUAAUGUUAAAACUAAACUUUUAAUCUCAAUUUUAUAUUAAAAUCUCAAAGUAUAAAUUAAGAAACCAAAUCAUCCAAUGGUAUAAUUCAACUGACUUUUAAUUCCGGCAUAUUUAUGUAAACACAAGAAUUGUAAAGAUUGAAAAACAAAAUAAACAAGAACGGUCCUGAAAAAAUUAACAAAAAUAAAGUACAUACCAAGCAUCACAAGCAAAUCCGUAGAGUGUAUCAGUGGGAACCGCUAUGACUUUGCCAGUUUUAAGAGCUUCAACUGCUUCUUUGGCAAAAUCAUCUGUCGCUGGUCGAACCAAACCCAACUGAGUUUCUGCAUUUGAUUCACAUUUCUCAAGAUUCCAAGCCAUCUUCUUCGUUAAGGCCCCUCUGAAUCCUCGUUUAUGUUGCCGGAUUUUCACUAAUCUAAACCUGGACACACCUGACACAUACAUAUAUAAAUAUAUGAAUAUCAAAGAAGAAUAAGGUGUAGACUGGAUAUAUAUACACACACAAACGCACAGAGAGAGAGAGAGAGAGGAGAAGAUUGACGAUUACUAGCAUGUAGGAUGAGCACCUCGGAUUGAAUGUUGGAGAGAGAAGUGGGAGCAGAAGAAAGGCAAUCUCUCAGCUAUUUGUACCGGCACAAUAUUCAUAACUAUCUUCUCUCUCUAUCCUCCUCCACUUUCAAUGACUUUUUGCUCCCGGAGAGAGGAAGAGGAGGCAGCACACUACUAGAAAGAAGGGAGAUUUUUCCUUUUUGAAUACUGAAUUUUGUGGACUCAUUAGAUUAUUCAGUUAUCUCUCUCUGCAGUCUGCUCAUAAAAGUGCAAAUUUUAAAAUGUUGUGACACAACAAAACAAUUCAAUUAAUCCGUAAGAUAUUAGUAUGCAGAAUUUAUAAACGUAAUUUCACCUAACAGAGCAUACAUCAGAGUUUUUACAAGGUUUAAACUAAAGAAAAGAGGUAAAAACAACUAUUAAUUUGAUUUAAAUCUAUAUUUGGUAAAUUAGUACAUCACUUUUGGAACCUAUUCAUAGGCUUUAUAAAACUUGGAUAAUAAUUAAUAAGUCAAAAUCUCUUCACAAUUCUCCUAACUUACAUACUGACCUAUUGGACUCAAACUUCACUAUUUAGACCCCAAAAAUAAUCUAAACCGCAAGUACUUUUUGACAUUUCCACAACAUCUCUCUCUAAGAUCUCUAUUCAUGUGACAGAGACCUUGGGAAAGUAUAAAAAGUGCUUGUAGAAUUAUGAAUUCUUAAAAGAAUAAAUUUUCAAUCACAAAUCCACCAAACAGGAGUUAAGAAAUUUGAGUUUAGUAGAUAUCACCACAAAAAAAUCAACUUUAUCAAAUUAAUACAAUAUACGGACAUGUAAAUGCACAACAUCUUAAAAAUUUUGUAUUGGGUCUUUUCUCUAACUACAAUCAUAUCCGAAUUAAUUUCAUGGGCAUUUUCUUUGUUAGGUUCUUCAACCAGACAAACCUUUGCUAUAAAACUUUGGACUCCAAAAUAUCACAUUUUACUUGAAUUUCAUCGUCUUUCUCCAACAUAUCAUCAGUAUAUGUGUAUGUAUAUAUAUAUAUAAUAUUUUACUUGUAUAUGUAUAUAUAUAAUAUUACAUAUUUUGAAACGGAGGGAGUAAAGAAUUUCCUUACUGUUAAAUAGAAGACAAACCUGGGGCUGGGCUGGGGCUGGAGCUGGACGGGGGGAGGAGACGGCGGGGGAGAGAAGGGAAGAAUAGGAUUGUCUAUAGAGAAUUUUUGGCGGGUCAGCGGAACAGGGAAGAAAAAUAAGGGAUAGACAGUAGUCUACGAAAGAGUAUAUUUCUUUCUUUUCCUUCUUCCGGAUCCACAUUUUUUUUUGUAAACAAUGUAUGUAUUUACUACAUUUGUACGGCAAAACAAGUCAUCCUAUAACUUUUGAAAAAAAUCUUAAAAUUAUUCAAAUUUAUCAAUUAAUUAAUAAAAUUGUGUAUAGUAUAACUAUAAACUAUUCUAAAAGUAACACUAAUUUUCAAAAUUAUAUUUUUAAAACUUAAAUAAAUUCAAAUCAAUUUAAGUUUAUAGUUAUGCAAAUUGAUUUAGUCAAGAUUGGACUUCUAUAAUUUCCAUGAAACAGGGAGUAGAAGCAUAAGUGAUAAAAUUACAACCUUGGUCUUGAAAAAAAGGAUCAUUUUCAUUUUUUAUGUAUAUAUUAAGAUUUACAUGUGAUGCACAUCACCCAAUAUUUUUAGCUUUCAUUUUCUCAUAAUUUUUUUCAAUACAAAAUUUAGUCUUAUAAAUUUAACAUUAAACAAAAAAAAAGGUCUUCAAAAGGAAAACUGGAUGUCAAAUUUGAAUCUCAUAGAAAGCUGAUGAGAACAUUUGAGGAACAAAGUAUGUAAACUUACUCUUAUAUUUACAACACAACAAGGCAAUACAACCAAGUUUCUUUAAAUUCAACAAUUAAGAAUAAACCCAGCUUAAAACUCUAUCACCCAGUAUUGCUCCUAAGAAUUGAGACUCUAGGCAACUUCAUAACAUACAGAACCACCUAAACUCACACAUGAACAACAUUGUAAAACUUUAUGUCCUUUCUUUUUCUCACCCCAUAUGAAGAAAGAGGAAUCCAAAAGUGAGCUGCUCCAACAUAAACACCUUUUUUCGCAGCUAUACAAGUUUUAAACUAUUAGGUAACGCGGCGUAUUACCUCCGACUAACAGUUUCUGGAUUUUCCGUUUCUGUUUGGUUGAGUGGAGGACGGUCUACAUGGGAUGACACUGCAGUUUGCGGCCGUCUACUAGCAAAUUGCAAAUUGUCAUGAAGAUUUGAUGAUUCUUGCCACCUUCUCCUCCAUCUCAAAACCUCGACAAUAAUAGAACUUCCACUCAUUGCAACACCAAAUCCCGCAAAUGUUGCUAGGAGAAUUGACAGAACUGGUUGCACAUGAACCUAUACACAACAGAGAAGGGGAAAAUACCAAACCAUUUAUACUGUAAUUAUCUCUUAAGUACAAUUAAAAAAGUUGGAUUUAUAAUCAGUUUGACAUGGCUCAAUCAGUAUAGAAACAUAUAAGUCGAUGAAAUGGAACAAAUUUACAGGUUUCAAGAUUUAUAAAUAUUUUUUGGAGGGAAGUUUGAAAAUAAGCUGGAAAAACUAUAAUGUAGUAAUCAAAUUCCAGCAUGUUAUGGUUCAAAUUUAUAUUUCAUACUAGCAAAUUACAAAAGUCAAAUAUACGAUGUAGUCAAAUUCACAUUCUAUCCUGCCUGAUUUUGUAAAAUAAUAGUUUUUAUACUUUCUUCGGGUAAUUCACAAGAUACAGUUGUGAGCAGAGAAAUCCUUACCAAGUUGAAGAAAAAAUGUGCAAAGAUAACCACGAAUGCGAAUUGAAUUGAUGCAUAAAGCCAGACAAACCUUCUCUUCACUAUAAACAAAAUUUAGAGUACUCGAGUCAGUACUGGGGGUAAAGAGAACAGUAAGUAUCCUAUAAUUAACUCAACACUAUAUUCCAGCAUUUAAAUGGGAUUGGACCCAUUAACAAGUUCAUUAAUACGUUUCCAUUGAAUUAUUCGUAGUUGUGUGUGUUUCAGUGUUUUAUGUACACUUUCAAUGGAUGAUUUCUAUAUCAUAUGUGGGAUCAACUAUCUAGUUACUCAUUAUAUUCAGUAUUACACUGUACUGUAUUAUUAUAUAUUAGAUAUGUUUUUACAUAAUAAUCCUUUCUGUUUAAAUUGUUUGCCAGCUUACCCAUGGUUGAAGAGGUCAUGGAUGCAAGGAGACCCAGUACACAAGAAAAUGGAAGCGAGAGAGCUAUUGCACCUGUACCCAUACUUGCAACCUGUUCAUAACACAUUAUAUAACCAAGAAAACUAUUUCUAGAUAAGAAUACCAGACUAAAUCCACAUCAAAUCUUACCAAAAGUUGCUCGAGAAAACAAAAGUAGGCAAGCAUGCUGACAAUAACAAGAAUUGGCACCUCCUGCCAAACCCUGUAGACAUCACUGCAAAGAAAUUGGAUUCGGAUGGCAAUAUAUGACAAAAUAAUUCUUAGUGGGUAUAAAUAGUUCUACCUCCGUCCAAAAAUGAGAGCCUCAUUUGAACUGUUGACUUUAUUUAAUUUGCCUACGAGGCUAUGACACACUUGUCACAUUAACUUUUUUGUCCAAUUAUGACAUUUGGACUUGAAGAAAAAAUUCAGUAAGACUAAUGAGACUCCUAUAUAUGGAUGGAGAGUGAGAAGAUACGAGAGUGAGAGGGAGUAUGAGUCACACUUGCCUGAAUCCAUUAACUUCCAUCCGUGGGGCUCUAUUUGCUCCAGUAAUUUGAUUUUGAACACUUUGAAUCCGCAAAAGCGUGACAGGUAGAUUUUGAACCUCAUGCUUGCACACUUCACAGGUUUUGUUACCUUUGAUGCUAAACCAUUUUACAGCGCAUUCUUGGUGAGCCAAAGCAAGUUCACCUUUGCAUUUGCAUUCCAUCUUUAGGGUCUCUCCACCUUCACAUAAUUCAACCAUACAGAUUCUACAAACAGCCUCUUCUUCUGGUAUAUCUUCCGCAUCAUCUUCAUUAUUUUCUAAACAAUAAAACUAAUAUUAGAGACAGAACUUAUCACAGCAAAUACAUACUGAACAAACAUACCCAAACAACAGCAUUAAAAAGUCCUAGAAACUUAUUCUUCAUUUGAUUGCCACAAAAACUGAUAGUGAAAUAUGCAAUACUAUCAUUGAUUAAAAAGAAAACAGGACUUUGUUUCAGAUGUUAUGAAAAGGGUUCCAGCAUUUGCGAUGAAAAAAAAUAGAGAAUCAAUGAAUUUUUAGUUACUCAUGAGCUAGGAAAGUAUGAUGUAAGAUAAUAAAGAAAACAACAAUACCAUCAUCUCCAGUUGUAUCUGUACUGGACAUUGUGUCAUUUACAUCUCUUACUCGAGGAGUUGAGGGAAUUACACGGAUAAAUGAAUCCAUUCGCCUCAUGGUCGGGCCUUUCUUUAUAACAGGGACUGAAAGUGAACGAGAUAUGUGCCUCUGGGCUGCUUUUGUCUACACUCAACAAUGAAACGGAAGUUAUAAUGCCUGUUUGCAUAUGAGCCUGAUCUUGAACCAAAACCUAAAGAAGACCGGAACAUCAACUAAAAGUGACUGAUUAAAGAAUAACGAGUCCCUCAACAAUAAUGUAGUGAGUUUUAGUUUUCCUAAGUAACUCACUAAUGCUUCAUAAUGGUCAGGCCUUUGUUAAUAACAACACAACUGCUUUCCCAUAUAUAUUUUUUGCAACAAUUUAAUGCUGCUCUAGAAAAAAUCAAGAUCACUAAUGCAAUAAGAACAUGACGGAUGUCUGUUAUAUUCGUAACAUGUCCAAUGCUAGAAAAAAAGUGGGGAUUUAUUGCCACUUCACCGCAACCCAUUAUAUGCGUCCAUACACCUUUCGGACAGGUGCUGCACUUUCCAUCUUAAGAAGGUCAACUGCCAACAACCAACUCGAAGGUAAUACCAGCCAGCCAACUGUUCAAUCCGACAAAUCUCACACAUAAAUAACAUGAAACAAGUACAAUAAAGAAUUUUUUAUUGUUUAGAAAAAAAACACUAAAUGACUCAACUUCCAUGUCCUCAAUGCAUUCCUUUCAAGUUACCCUCUAAGUUAAUUAAGAUAAGCCUUUCAAAACCCUUUUUUAUUUAUUUAUACUUUUUAGAGCAAGUCAAUGUGAUCACAUAUGCAUGCAAUCAGCAAUCACUUUAUACUUUUAUAGGAUUAAAUUAGCUGUGUGACUAGAUGCCUUAAGGUAAUCAUGGCACCUUGAUUGGCCAGUCAAAUCUGUUUUUCUCACCCUUUAGUUAUUCUUUAUUGUGGAAUAGAAGCCAUCUAAUGUGCUGAUAACUUACGUCUAAAUUUAGUGAGCUGCUUAAGUUUCCUCCAGAUAUAGAUUCUGAGUUGGACCGUGAAAUUGGAGUAACAGGUAGAGACGAUGUUCUCUUCAUCCGAGGAGUAAAUAUCUUUGUAAGUGACCAAGAUCUUGAGAUAGUAGGCUUCUCCUGUGGCCCUCCUGGAACUAAGUUUGUGGCUUUCUCUACAUCUGAACUAGAAUUCUUGUACUUGAAGCUCAGCUUUGGCAAGAGUUGCUUCAUGGAUGAUUUACCUCUGAAUGGGGAAGGACUAGGAGAUACAUUAAGUCUUGUAUUAGAAGGGCUAGGCGUCAGAAGGAAAUUUACUUUCUUGGGAGUGGGAGUAGGGGUAGGCGGCAUCUUUAUUUGAACAAACUCUUGAGAGGAGAUCUCCAUGUUUCUUGAUGGUAUCUCCAGGAAGAGAUUUGGCUUUCUCCAGUGCUUACAGUGUGGUGUUCCUUGACUUGAUCCAGAAGAAUCUUCACCCUAAAAAAAGAAUAAGAAACAUAAAAACUACUAAAUUGGAGAACAUGCAAAGUAGGCAUAAAAUCUUCAUAUUGUAGCAGAAAAUUCUAUUUGCACCUACUAAAAUGUAACAUGGGUAGUCCUAAAACUAAUUGAAAUUUGAAGUCCUGUUGCUUUUUAAUUUGAAGAAUGACUAGAUAGACCAUGUCAUCAGGUUCACUUUUAUCUAAUUCCUAAUUCAUUUUUAUCUAAUUCAGAGUCUGUCACAAGGUGUUGAAUAAUUGAUAUUCGUACUGACAAUGUCACUCCAUCAUUUAGUUAUCAUCUUAAUUAUGUCUACAUGUAGGAGUUGAAUGGAAAUGUUCACAAAAUAAGUUAUAAAAAUUUAAAAAUAAACAAAUAAAACAAAUUUGAUGACAGAAGUAGGUGAUCUAAAGCAGGUAUUUACAUAAAAUUACUAUAGUCUAAAAUGAGCCACAACAGUGCCAUUCACGUUAUAGAGAUUUAUUCAGUACUUUACAAAUUAUUUGAAUCAUUUAGUAUGAAUUUCAGUUUGUCUUAGCUAGAAGUUGAGUAAUUUACACCGUCCGGGAAUUUUAUUUAUAAAGGAAAGGAAGAGUUACAAAGGAAGAUAAUUAUAUCCAGGACAUAAACUAACAAACCCAAACGUAAAAGCUCGAGCCUGAAAAUUAUGUAUUGACAAAGUAAGAAAUGGCUCAAAAUUUUCAAAGAAACCCAUUAAAGGUUUCAACUUUCAUACAGAUCUUACUGUAAGCCCACAUAAUUAGGAAAAUAACCAAAUUCCCAGAAAAAGAUUCAACCAAAAAAAACAGAAAGAAAAGCACACACCUUGUCAAUUGAAAUAACAACCUCGAUCUGGCAUUCACUCCCAUUACCCAUUUCAGUUAAAGAUUUAUUAUUCUCUUCAGGUUUCAUCUUCUCCUGUAACAGUUUCUGCUAUAUAACUCCCAAUACUAACAAAGAACCUUAAAAAAUGGAAAAGAGGCUCUCUUUGUGUGUGAAAGAGGAGAGAGAAAGAGAGAAACUAAAGUUAUGGGUAUUUCUUGAGGUGGGUAAUUACUGAAGAUGGAAGGGGGAGCAAUGAAGUUGGCAUUCAUUUAUGGCAAAAGCCAGAGGAAGUGGGGAGAGCUCCUUGCCCACUCCACUCCACUCCAUCAAGUUUGGUUGCUAUCGGGGCUUCUGAAAAGUUUGUUUAACCGGUUUUAAGUCCUAAAUUUGUGUUGGUGAAUUAUAAAAAUUAAGUCCUAAAGUUUGUAUUCGUAAGAUAAAAAACAUAUUUAUUUAAAUAAGAUUUUUAAUUACGCUUAAACUUUAAAAUUAGAAAACUCAAGUUAUAAACCAAAAUGCACUUGCAUACUACUUGCAACAUCAUAAAUACUACUCCCACUUCUUAUAAAUCUCACUAACACUCCUUAUAAAUCCCAUUCCCAUUCCUUAUAGUGUGGGUGGGGUGAUCACUUCAUGUUCCAAAAUAUGCUGACACUACGGGAGUGUUUGAUAAAAAUUGAAUAAAUUUAAAUCUGAAGCUGAAUUUGAAUCUAAAUGAGUUGAAUUUGAAUAAAAAAAAGUUGUUUGAUAAUUGACAUGUCUGAAAUAUCUGAAUGACAAAACUUUAUUAUUUUACCGCUCUGAAAAAAUUCAAAAUUGUUGUAAAUUUAUUUAAUAUUACUUAAUAUAAUAGUUAAUAUUUUUUUUAAUUUUUUAAUUUUUUUAAUUUUUUUUUACUUCAUUCAGCUCAAAAAAUCUGACUUGGCCAUUCAGCUCGUUCAUCUUACCAAUUCAAUUGUUCAGACUGACCAUUCAGUAAACAAAAACUUAUACUAUUAAGUACUUAUUGUUUCUUUUCUUAGUCCCACUUCCAUAAGAAACUGAGAGAAGGAGAGGGUUUAAGUUAGUCAACCACUAAGUUUUCCCCCCAGUAUUUAGUCAACCACUAAGUUAUCAAAACUGGCGUGUAACCCAUUAUAGCUGAAUUGCAGCAUACCCAUAAUUAUCUAUGCUUUUGUAUUAUCCAACUUAUAGAUUCUUUUCCAAAUUCGAUUUUUAUAUUAGAAUUAAACAACUCGGAUUAAAUUUCAAAUCCGAAUUAAAUCAAAUCAAAUCUGUCUAAACAAACUCACCAAAAAAUAUUGAAUUAUAUUACAACUCGGGUCAAUUUUUUCUUGUUUAAGAAGCCUAUAACUUAUAAGAGCAAAUCUACAAUUAUAGUACAACUUAUGAUAUCUUACCCUUGCACUAACAAAGAAUAUUUAAUUUUUUGGGCAGGAAAAUAACCACUAACAAAGAAUAUUGAAUCUCUUGUUCUAUUAUUUAGCAAAAAGAAAAGAAGGCAAAGACAGAUAAGAUUCUGUGAAGAAGAUUUACAUGGUUGAGGAUUUUACAAAAUAAUUAAAAAUCACUAAUAUAGAAAAUCCUCAACCUCAAAAGGGUUUUUUGAAUUUUGUUCAUGGCUAUAAAAAAUGAAGUAUUGGCUGCCAAAAAGAUCAGUGUCAGUAAAUUAAGAUUUAGAUAAAGAUGUUUGCUUUUUCUUUCCACAAAGAUGUAUUUGCUGUUUGGCAACCCCCUUCUAUAAUAAAGCACUGGAGCAUUUUAAGGAAUUGUUUGGAAAUUAAUAAGUAAUACUUCUUCUUUUUGUGAAAAAAGGUGGGCUUCAGUUCAUCAUAAUCAUUGCACCCAAAAAAAUAAAUUAAAUCAUAAUAAUCAUGUUUCUUGUCUGUCACUCAAUUUCUUAAUCAACACUCAAACAAUGCCAACUUCAUCAAAAGUAAGUAAAAUAAACAGAAUAAUGUAAAGUUAAAAAAUAGUAUUAAGUUUAGCAAAUGGGGAGAAUAAUAGCUUAAAUAUUGAUCAUCAAGAAGUUGCAAAAAUAUAAAAUAUAAAAAAAAUUGUUGUUAGCCCCCAUUUAAAAAGGAAAUCUCACUGCUGUCUAAUUAAUCAGUUAUGAAGGAGAUUUUCAUUUGGAUCAAAAGAGAUUAUGUUAAUGAUUAGAGUGCUUAAUGAUCUCAGGAUAUGAUAGGUAGCACUCGUUUUAAAUUUGAAUAGGAAUAUCCACUCCCAUGGUGGAUGGUGGCAGUCCAAUCUUCCAAACAAAGUAUAACUUUAUCAACCGCCUGACAUGUGGAGCCCGCAGUAUGCAUGUGUGUAUGUAAAUAUUAUGUUACCCUUUUUACGUUAUAGUAGCAUUAUUUUAACUUUAUUUGAGAGGCAAAAGGGGAUACACAUCACCUAGAGAUAAAUACUACUUCAUCCCUCUCAGAAAAUAAUAAUAAUAAUAAUAAUAAUAAUAAUAAUAAUAAUAAUAAUUUUGUAAGUAGUUUAAAAUAUUAACUAAUGCAUUAAUCAAAAUCAAUUAUUUUUGCAAAUUGACUAGGAAACAAUUAAAUGAGAUUAUUUUUGUACAAUGGAUGGAAUAAAUAAGUGUUACUUGAAACGCAGUACGUUUCGGUACGGAAUACAAAUACGGGAAUGCGGUACGCUACAUAAUUAAAACGCGAUACACUAUAAUAUCUUUCUAUAAUUUUUUAUAGUUAGAAAUUCUCUAAAAAUUUAAAUGUAAUAAACCUAAUUUCUAUAAUUUCUUAUAGUUAGGAAUUCUCUUAGAAUUUAAAUGUAAUAAAUCUAAGUUUUAUAAAAGAUUUUUAGUUGAAUUAAUAAUUUGAUUGUUUUAUAAAUAUUUUAAAUCAAAUGUAAUGUUUGAGCAUCCGGUACUAAUAUUAUAGUUAAACAACAAAAAUAAUUUGGUACGCUAAAUUUAAAAUAUUGACACAUAAGAAUAUCUUGUUUAGGUAUACAAAUACGUUCAUUAGGUCUCUAAAAAUAUAUGGUAAGUCUGGAGUAAAUCAUAAGAAUUAAAGUACAAGAAUUUAAUUUUCCCUUUGAAGGCCUUGAUGGAGAGAGUCCCUUCCUAUAAACAACAAAAGAAUAGAAAAGCAAAAGGAAAAUAAGAGAGGAAAGCUUAGGUUGAACUUAAAGGAGAAUUCCAAAGCUUUCAGUUAAAAAGGUGACUAGUAUUGUUUGGUUAAGAAAAAGGCAAAAUCAGGUUUAGGUAUUAGAUAUGAUAUAUAAAUGGUAGGUGGGUAAGGUUGUAGCUAUAGAAACAUAAACCUAAAAAAAGUUGCACUUAUUUUUCUGAUCAGAUUUUGGGGUUGUCAAUGUCUGGGCAGUGGGGGAAGAAAGUCCCUAACCUAGCCAAUGAUUCCAAGAAAAGAUAGUGGAGUUGGGUACAAUAAUAUGGUUUCUUAACAAUAUUUUACCAGAAUUUAAUCAAGCUAUUUCAAUACAAUGAGAAUGUGAAUAUAGGUGAAUUUAAACAAGUUUCAAAUUUCAAUAUGCAUGAAAAUUAGUACUGUUAAAUAAGUUGUCUUUUUGGUAAAUUUUAAGGCAAAACUUUCUAUACAACAAUAAAUCAUGUAAAUACAGAUUUUUUUUCCUUCUAAUUAUAAAUGAAAUUGGGACAAGUUGAUUGAUGAAGUUGUUGUGAAGAAUUGAUCUAUUAUCAUUGAUGGGUAGUUGGAAAUUACUUUAUGCAAUAUUUAAGGAAAAAGUUUGAUGCUCUGUUCCAUAAUGAUUUCUGCUCAUGACAAAGAAUUAUUACUACAUAAACAACUAGGCAAUAUAAUCUAUUAUUAUCAUGAUUAGAUUAGAAACAUAUGCCUACGUUUGAGCUCAAAUUGCAUAUUUAAUUUUGAAACGGAUGGAUGGAGUAUCAUGAUUAGAUAAAAUAUAAUUCAUCUAAUCAAUUUAAAAGACUAACAUAAAGGUUUGUCAUCAAGCAUUUACAAUCUUGUAAUAUACACUUGUUGACCUACUUUUCCUACACCCCAUGAAAGGAGAAAUGAAGAGACCAGAGCAGGAAUUUGCUAAUUUUAUUAAGUGGUAGGUUGCCAUUAGAAAAUUUGUAGGCAGGUAAGAACUAAGAACUGACUAAUCCCCUGUUUCUAGCAUAGACUUUGGAUAGAACAGAAAAAGAAUCAAAACAACAAUUAAAAACUCAAUCCAAACUAAGGUGUUGUUAGAUUUGAUUAAGUGAUACAUGUCUGAAUCAAGAAUUAGUGAAAUCUGAAUGCUGAAUGACCAAUGAAAUAGUUGAAAGUUAUUGUAUAUAAAAAUAAGACUCAAAAUUCUGACUUAAGAAUUAAGAGGUAUCAAGUCUUAUUCUGGCUUACAAAAUAAAUGAUAAAUUAUGGUUGCUGAUAUUACCAAAACAGAAAUGAUACCGCGAGAACAAAUAUGCAUUUAGUGACACUUUUUGUAGUUAUUUUAAUAAUAAUAAUUAACACUUUAGGCGAUACUUAUUGCUCGGCAACAAUAUUUAUGCAUUGGCAAUAUUAAUCGCCUAAAUUAUAGGUCUGGAUAAAUGAGAUCUUGUACUAAAAUAUUGUUCAAACAAAAUAAAACAUCCAGAUUAUUUUAAUUCAGAUGAUUCGGAAGAGACCUACCUGAAUUUCUGGACAAUAAUUAAAGAGGGUAAUCAAUGCGCAGUUUAUGACCUGAAAAUACUCUUUAGAAAUUCAAAGAAUGCAUGAAGUGGAGGGAGCCUUUCACAAACUGUUUAUAUAUAGCUAUAGCCUAUAGCUAUUCAAUAGAAUAUACCCCACAAGAGAAAGUAUUCAUUCAUCUGUUAUUUCAAUAGUUACCCUUUGAAUUUAAGCAAGUGAAAACAUAAUUGUGACAAUAAGACAGUCAGUACUUUGAACUGCACUAAGGAGACCCUGAUUAUGUAGACUGAUAAUGGGAACACAAGCAUUAUAUGAUUGUGACUGCAAAGAUAUUGCCUGCAAGCUCAGCUCAAACUUAUGUAAAACUUAAGUGCUAAGGAGGAAUGGAAUUGGUGAAGGAAUAAAAUAGAGAAGAGAAUGUAAUGGUGAGUGGAAUUGUUAGAAUAAGAUCACACACACGCACAUGACAGUAAAGAAAUAGUUGCAUUGAGUUUUACAAUAGAGAGUAUAUAUAGUCGCUUUUGGACUGUCAUUGACACUUGACCUUUUUCAAUAACCUCGCUCAUCUUCUUAAACUACCUACUCUUGAAUUUAUCCGAUGUGAGAUUCAUGUGAAAUAUCCCAACAGGAAUGAUUCAUUCCAUUCCUGACUAGAAUGAUUUAUUUCAUACUAUCGCCUAAGGAAUAAAAUUCACAAAUUUGAUAAAAAUGAGAAUGGUUCAUUCCAUUUUUCCAUUCCACGGGAAUGAGUUAUUUCAUUCCCACCUUCAUUCCUUCAAUCCAAACAUAUCAUAAAAGUUAAGUAAAUUAAAACGAAGAUCUUAGUUCUAAGUUCUAACUAGUCUCAAAGGAUACUUGGUGCGUGUUUGGCUUGCAGCUUUUGGAGCGUUUGGAGGCUAAACACACGUGAAAAUAUUGCUUGUUUCACAAAGGCAUUUCCAAAUACAAUUUAUGGAACUCACAAACACAACAAACUCACCAAACCAAAAAUAAUGUGUCGUGUUUGGAGGUCCAGACACACUAAACUAAACAAGCCUGGCAACUGUGAAUUAUUUUUAUUGCAGCAAUGCAGAAAACUCUACUUGUGUUGGGAUUAACUGCGACAACCACGCUUGCUAAUUAGUGUUAAUUACUUUAUUAUCAGUCAUUUUUCAAAAUUUAAAAUAAUGCAACUUAGUUAAAUAUUACUGCCAAGCUCCUCUACGUACCAGGAUAGAAUUCAAUUAGUCAUCCAUGAACUCUCAUCCUCUAACCGGAACGUAGUUCUCAUCCACCUAUACUAACACUCUGUUUCUGAGUUUUGAACAGAAAAGAAAAUAAUAGAAAACUUAAAUUAGAACAGAAAAGAAAAGAAUAGAAAACUUAAAGUUUUCCUUUGGGUUGUUUCUGAGUUUUUAAUGGAAAAGGAUAGAAAAUUUAAAAUUGAGGACAUGAGUUGUAAUUUAAAAUUUAUUAUAUUAAAAGUUGAGGAUAAUAUGAGAAUUAUAAAAAUAUUACUUAUUCUAAUUUCUUUUCCGUCCAAAUCAUGCCAAUUUUGGACGGAAAACUUUGGCAAGAAAAGUGGCCAAGUUUUCUGUCCAUUUCUUUUCUUUUCCGUUUAUUAAAAAACUCAGAAACAUAAGAAUUGGAAAGAAAACUUAAAUUUUCCGUCCAUUUCUUUUCUUUUCUGUCCAUUUUAAAACUCAGAAACAGAGCGUAAGUGUAACUCUUUUUUCUCACUAUAAUUAUUUUAUAGUAGUAGUAUAUAUAAGUAUACAUUGUAUAUAUAUAUAUAUACAAGGUCAAAAAGUUCUCUAAAUAAGUCAUUCCAUUGUCAAACGGGGCUUGUUCAAUAUAUAGUCUGGUUAAGAGAGUGAGGAACUGCACACAUGUGAGUGAGCAAAAUGGACACAAAGUCAAAAACAGAGAAUAUUUUACUCACAAUCUAACUGAGAGGCAAUAGUGGUUUAAAUAAUCUUUGUUAACGCCAGGAUCUUCUCUAACGUCCCAAUCACGUAAGACGUCCUGAUCCUGCACAGUAAACACGAUAAACACCACAAGUUUGACGGCUAUUCCGUCGGGGGAUAGCUCAGGCGUAAGAGUCAGUAUACGUGUUCACAAGAUUAACAAUGGAGGAAUGUAAUGUCUAGUGUAUUGAGAGAGAGAGAGAUAGAUAUUCUCAGUUGUGUGUGUGUAUAUAUGAAUGUAAAACGUACCUGUUUUACAAAGACUUCCUUGCUAUAAUACAAGACUCGGUUCCUUGUGCCACUGACCCUCCUGACCCUACCCACUGCAGAUAGCUUUCCUGUUAAUCCCAUCCCUUCUGUCCACCGCUGACCGACUGUCCAAUCCUCAUUAAUGCCAUGUGAGAUAUCAGUCAGUCAUAUCUUUGUCAUCAUCACCAGUCAAAGAUGUAGAUAUUUAAAUAUCUGAUGGGUCGACUCACUGAUUUGGUCUGAUAUUAAAAGGGCUUAACAAAGAUAAUAAAGUGACUAGGCCCAAUAAUGUCAACACCCAAUAGUAAAGACCCAAUAGACUAACUGAAUAAGUAAGCCCAAUCCAUUCGGCCCAAUAGGAGAAAUAUCACGACCCAACAAUCUUAUUUUAGAAAAAAAUUAACUUCAAUGCAUCAAUUAAUAAUAAAGGGACUGCAUGCAUCACUUACCAAACUUUAAUUGGGAUGAUUAGCCAAAGAUUAAGCUGACAUCAAUGUGGAGCCUUAUCCUGACACCCUUCUCCUAAGAGUUACAGGGGUAUUGAUAGGUGAAGCCAUCAAACCGAACUUGCAUAAGGUUUUAUGAUAACAUCAUGUCUAUUAAAACUUUUCAAACUCCAGCCUGAGGGCCAUGUUUAAAAUUUCCUUACUACAUUCAAGGGAGGUGCAAGGAAUAAACUUUGCACUGUACUUAUGGGCCAAAAUCACCUCAUCCACCAUCUAAACUGUUAGAACAAACUAUACAGAUCGAGACAUAAUCAACGACAGAAAAUAAAGACAAGAACACAAGAUAUUUACGUGGAAAAUUCAGAUCGGGAAAAACCACAGACGAGAGGCAGAACUCACAAGAUAUCAAUCACUAUAUCAAAGUACCAAGAAUACAAGCUAUAAAUCUCUAUCUAUAAGAAACUAUUAACACUGAGAAGGAAAAGAAUGCCGAAACCGUAGUAGUAAUAACAUAACGAGUCGAACCGAAGUGAAUAGAGAGUUACUUGAAUUCAACUCGAAAUAUUAAAUUCAUACUUGAAUUCGAAUUGUAUUUGAAAAAUUCUACUCAAAUUCGACUCGACUCGACUAGAAUAUUUAUUACUCGAAUUCGAUCCGACUCGAAUCGAAUUAUAUUCAAACAAUCAAACUAUUAGUGAACUUCAAAUUCAAGCUCGAAUUCCAAUCUCCACAAAAUAACUAGUUUUAUAAUAAAUAUAAUUAUAAAUUGAAUUUGUUAUUUUACUUAGAAAUGAGAAAAUAUAUUUAUCAUUACACUUUACAAAUAUAAAAUCACAAUUAAAAUUAAAAACAAAACAAAAUAAUAAUAAUUAAUUAUCUUAAUUUGAUUUAAUUUUGUAUAUAUUAAAAGAGAAUGUAUCGAGUAUCUAAUUGAAUCUGUAUCAAUCGAGUAUGUAUCGUAUCAUAAUCGAGAAUUCUAGUAGCUUGAAUAUUAAACAAGUUGACUAUAAACUUGCUCAAAAUCUACUUUUAUUUUUUUUUUCGAACUAUUUUUUAUGCUUAAAUUUGGAUCAUAUUAUUAACGAAUUCGAAUUUCAAUCAUAUUUUUUCGAACCCGAACGGUUUAACUCGUUUACUGCCUUAUAUAUACAGUCGGUCGGGCUAAAAACAUAAUAGACCCCAAAUAACAUAAAAGAUAUCAACCUCAGUCCUCCGCUACCACCACUAAACCUCAUAUUUCUUUCAUUUUGGGUCGCCACAAAAUAUUUAUAGUUGGAUCCCGAGCUAGACUUUGACACAUAAAAUAAAGAGUCUAAGAAAAUUCAGAUAUUGUAGAGAAUAGAGACAAUUCCAAUCAUGAACGGAACAGUUUCAUCAUAAUAUACAACACCUUAGAAUAUUUUUGACAAAUAAAGUAAACUAAAUGAAUGUCUUUAUCUUGAAAGCUCUGCAAGUAAAAUGUUGAGCCAAGAUAACCUCUGAAAUUUUUUUGGGUUAGUUUACCUCUCCAAAAGCAUCACCAGCUCACAAUGUGGAGUAUGAGGGAAAAGAUCAAUUCAUGGUUUUGAUGGGUUGCAAAGGCCCAAAAUUGGGCACAAACUUGGCCCUAUGGUGAGCCAAACCAGCACUUGCCCAUAGUCCACCAUAGAUCCUUUGUUAUUCUUAUUCUGCCACAUUCUCACUUAAAAGUUCAUGACGGUAAUAAUUUAAUUUUUUAUAUACAGACAAAUUUUUCUCAUAUACCAUCAGCCUUUGUGUCCCCAACUCCAGUAAUCUGAUCGGAUGAUCUGACCCGACUUUUCGAAAGUCAACUUUGAUAUCAUAUGAAACAAUUCGAGUCAAAUCCCGAGUUCGGAAACUACGCCUAAAACACAUAAAACACUGUUUUUUACAAAAAAUUCAGUUGGAAUAAAUACUAUACAUUUUUUGAAAGGUAUUACAAAAAAAAAA
Molecule: long non-coding RNA, 56567 nt
Filed under: Panax ginseng (ginseng)
Lineage: Eukaryota; Viridiplantae; Streptophyta; Magnoliopsida; Apiales; Araliaceae
Description: long non-coding RNA (PGIN_LNC006876)
Source: RNAcentral